UGCCUCCACCUCGAUCUCGAGGGCGUCGUGCGCGGCUACCAGCACCGGCAAGCUCACCUGCCUCUGCUCGCCGACCAACCACCCGGGCUCCUUCCGCUGCACCCGCCACCGCAACCCGCGGGGGCGACGGCAGACAUCGUUGUCCGGCCGCGCGUCGCAGCAGCCUGCUGCACCGGGAGCCAGCACGACGGUGCGCGUCAAGGGGAUCAUCAGGAGCGGCAGUCUCGGCACCGGCAUCGGCGGCGGCAGGACCACCAAGGAUCGGUCCGUCCUGCGCACGCACCUGCUGCGGCUGGUCAGCACGCCGUCCUCCGCCGGCCGCGACCACCGUCGCUGCUGGUGUUGGAAGGGAGAGAGGGAUUUGGAGGAAUAGUUCGUUGUAUUGCUUGAGCCUCGUGGGCAUAUAUAUAGAAGUACAAUCAUCUACUUGGAGUACAAGACAAGCCAGAACAAAUCCUAGUCUAUCUCGUCUUUCCUAAUAAACAUUAUACUCAACAUUCCCCUACAGUCACAACGGUAGCGACGCAGGCGGUGAGACUGGAGAAAAAUUCGAAGGCAAGCCGACGGACACCCCCCACAGUCGUAACGGUCGACGAGUCGUGGCUGGAGUGGCAACCGACGAGGUUUCUCAAGCAAGGGAUAGCCCUUUGUGCCAUUUGUCGAGGUAGCCGAGAGCAUGGGUGGUGGAGCCGUGGUCGAGGUAGCCAUGCGAAGAAUGUCGUGGUCGAUGUCGAGUCGGGGUAGCCGGUGUCGAGAAAGUCGUCGUGGAGCCGCGGGCCCAAGGAGGCGCCGAGUUAGUCGUGGACGCAGUGGUGUCGAAGUAGUGGUGCGCCAGGAAGGAGAUGAUGUUGACGACGCGUCGCGUCGGGGUUGCCAACCCCGGGAACACAUCAUAGAUGAAGGCACGCGUCGGUGUUGCCAGCACCGGGCAUGCGUAGACGGACGAAGACGAAGUUGACGAAGCGCCGCACCAGGCUUGGCAGGCCCGGGGACACGUCGUGGAUGAAGGCACGCAACGGUGUUGCCAGCACCAGGCAUGCGUAGACUGGGACCUACACGAGCUGUACGACAUGUCGAGGAAGUUUGAGAGGCCAGCACAGAAGGACUCGACGACGGUUGCGGCCCCAAUCGGCAUGGGGCCAAUGUCGCCCGCGGUUGUCGGACUAGAUGAAGCGGUCGGGGUAGAUGACGGCGACGCUGGCGACGGGCUGGUGCUGGACGAAGAUGAAGGGGGUGGACGGGUGGCUGCGGCGGAGAGGUAGCGGCGGCGGCGUCCAAAGAAGAGCGACGGCAGCGGCCUGACGGCGGCGGCGGCGGCUAGGUUAAAAGUGCGGCGGCGGUGCUCGAAGUAGGCGAAGAACCCUGACAGCCUGAUGCAGACCGGCACGGACGGUGGCGUUCCCGCGUCAAGGGAGACGGCGCGACGCAUACCAUGGGAGGUCGACGCGCGGUGACGGCGGUGUGGACCGUGGGCCGCGACGCUAUGGCCCGAAGGGGCGACACAGCGACGACAGGUGGGUCGAGGCGACAGCGGAAGACCUCGGGCGGUGGCGGGGUCCGCAGGCCGCGACGCUGUGGCCCGAAGGAGCGAUGCAACGGCGGUUCGCGAGUCGGUGCAACCGCGGGGACGUACUCGAGGCGGCGGCGGGGACCGCGUAUCGCGGCACUAUGGCCCGAAGGGGCGACGCAGUGGCGACGCACAUGUCGAUGCAGCCGCGAGGAGAACCACGGGGCGGCGGCGCUGCGGCCCGAUGGGGCGACGCAGCGGCAGCUCGAUCCUCGAUCGGUGGAGAGGCGCGCGGUACUCAGGACGAUCUUCACGGGACCUGCGGAGGCGCGCGUCACCAACAGGCCAGGUUGGUCGCGCAGCGUAGAUGAGGCGGAUCGCGGCGGCAAGCGGGUGAUCAAGUCGAUCGCGCGGGAGGACGGGGACGCCGCUCGAUGGAGGCGUGGUGGCGGCGGAGUCCUGGAUGAGGCCGACGACGACGGACGGCGUGGGACGUCAGCACCAGCACCCGGGCUGCCAAAGCAGCAGCGGCGCCCGGGCAGCGAGGCCCGAGCGACCAACGGAGCAGUGGCGCCCGAGUUUGAGGCAGCCGACGAGCCUGACAGCCGAGGACGAGGCUGGCGAGGUAGACCGCCGAGCCGCCGUGCAGACGCGGCGAAGGCGGGUGACGUGGAUCGAUCGGCGGGCCGGCGCGCGAGCGACGGCUAUGAUUGGCCAUCGCAUGGGGCAAAGCCGCUGGGUCGGGGCGAUGCAGGUUUCCCGGUCGGAGCAGGCGGUGACGGCCGGCGCAGGGCGACGGGUAGACCAACGCGCAGACGGCGGCUGGCCCUGAUGGGCCGCCUCGGCGCGCGUGGCCGCCGGGUCGGAGGAGAGGCCGGCUGGUCGCGCCGGGGUCGGAGUAGAGGCGCUCGGGGUCGACGGCGGCGGUGGGCGACGCAAACCGAUCAAGAAUAGAUCGGAAAACCAAAAAGUAGACGCCGAUCAAAGCGACCGACGAAAGAGAGAAAACCCGGAUCAAAGGAUCGGGAAAAAGACUCUCUAGGGCAGCCGGCCAACACGGCCGGCGGACGAACCCUAGGUAUGGGCGGCGCAGCCCCCGACAGCGGACAUGGAGACCGACCGCUCCGGGGACGGCGCGCGGGUGCGGAAGCGGCGAGGGCAGGGUUGAGAACCCGGAAACUGAUACCAAGUUGGAAGGGAGAGAGGGAUUUGGAGGACUAGCUCGUUGUAUUGCUUAAGCCUCGUGGGCAUAUAUAUAGGAGUACAAUCAUCUACUUGGAGUACAAGACAAGCAGAACAAAUCCUAGCCUAUCUCGUCUUUUCUAAUAAACAUUAUGCUCAACAGCCGGGACCCGCCCGUCAAGGUUGGGCCGGCUCGCGGUGACUGCGUGACCCGGCUGCUCUGCUUCGCAGCUCGUACUUGUGCGGACGGUGCGCCUCUAUUUCGCGCGCACCAACCCAAGGAUCCAUCGUGGCUCGCACGUAGCUAGGAUCGGGUACUACUCUGGAGAAUGGAACUCUUUUUAGUACUGUGAUGAACUGAUGAUGGUGCUGAUAAUUACUAGUACUUGUACUCUAGAUCUGUACGCACUUCCUUGUAAUUUUUGCCGCGGAAUGAAAUGGAGCAGUUGGUGUGACCUUUCAUGCAUCUUUGUGUUGUCCUAGCUAGGGAUUUACACUAUGGCCACUUUAUACGUCAACACUCUUCCUCACAUUAUACGUCAACACUCUUCCUCACAUGUGGCUCCCUCAGGCCUAAACGUGGACCGAAAGUGGGCUGCAAUAUAAUUGCGCCAAUUGCGCCAGCCGGUCUUGAACUCAAGACCUCUUGGCUCCAAUACCAUGUAGAAGUGCAUGCUCUAUCCAAUGCAACCAAAAGGCCGGUCUGAUGAAAGAGACUAGUCAGCAUAUUAUACGUCAACACUGCCGGCGAAGCCUGGGAGGGAUCCAAUGAUGGCGGCAGCUGGGCAGUUCCCCUGAGCAACCUCCACUCCCAUUCUCUCAGCCGCGAUGGCGUGUUGUGGCGGCUCAACGGCGCACUCCCGAUCUGCAUGGGUCGCGGCGGGGUGGGGCAGAGAUCUUCGACGGGCGUUUGGCAAGGGCCGUCGACGACGAGGAUGCUCAGGAGCGUGGCGGGGACGGAGCUUUGACGACUGGGGCUGGUGGUCCAGAUCUGGGCGCCACUGGCCUUCGGAUUGCUUUCAUGGUCGUCUUCGUCUCGGUGGUGCAGCACUUGCCCCUUGCGGCGGGGACGACGGUGGUGGAUGGUUCCUCCGGCAGUCUUCCGAUGGUGGUGUCGACUCGGGUGAGGUCUGCUCCAUAUCUUCUAGCACCGAUCUUGCGCAGCCCGGAUGGUCUUGGGCAGAUCGACGGCUCUGGGACGUGGCUGUAGGCUGGCGUUGUGGUGCCUGAUGGUGCCGACAACUAGGUACCAUGAUGGUGCCGGCGCUCGGCCUGGCGGCGGCAUGCUAGAUCGUGGCGGCGUGGGGGCCUGCUACCGUGAUGAUAAGGUGGCGGUCCUCGUACUCUUCUCGCAUCACGGCAACAACCUGCAUGAUCGGUCCUCCUCGAUCUGGCCAUCGACGUGUUCCGGGCCGGCCGCCGGAAAUCUUGCUCAUGACAUCUAGAUCGGUUAGAUUCCGGUCGUGCAUGCUCAUAUCCGCCUAUGAGGUUCAGAGGGUGUUGCACGAAGCUCUGUUGGUUGACGACACUGAGGAAGUCCUGGAUAAGGGGGUAUCCGGACAACCGGACAAAGUACUUUGGCUGGACUGUUGGACUAUGAAGAUACAAGAUAGAAGACUUCGUUCCAUGUCCAGAUGGGACUCUCCUUGGCGUGGAAGGCAAGCUUGGCGAUUCGGAUGUAGAUCUCCUUCUCUGUAAACCGAUUUUGUGUAACCCUAGCCCCCUCCGGUGUCUAUAUAAACCGGAGGGUUUAGUCCGUAGGACUAAGGAUCAUUAUCAUCAACAAUCAUACCAUAGCGUAGCUUCUAGGGUUUAGCCUCUCUGAUCUCAUGGUAGAUCAACUCUUGUAAUACUCAUAUCAUCAAGAUCAAUCAAGCAGGAAGUAGGGUAUUACCUCCAUCGAGAGGGCCCGAACCUGGGUAAACAUCGUGUCCCCAGUCUCCUGUUACCAUUAGCCUUAGACACACAGUUCGGGACCCCCUACCCGAGAUCCGCCGGUUUUGACACCGACAUUGGUGCUUUCAUUGAGAGUUCCUCUGUGUCGUCACUGCAAGGUUAGAUGGCUUCUCCAACCUUCAACCACGCUGUCCUAGGCGAGACUUUUCUCCCCAGACAGAUCUUCAUGUUCGGCGGCUUCGCACUGCGGGCCAAUUCGCUUGGCCAUCUGGAGUAGAUCGAUAGCUACGCCCCCGGCCAUCAGGUCAGGCUUGGAAACCUAAACUACACCGCCGACAUCCGCGGAGACUUGACCUUCGACGGACUCGGGCCCGUGUCAGGAGUGCUGAACAAUCACGACGUGCAUGACCUAGAUCAACAGUCGGACAGUAUUCGGAACAUCGCACCUGCUACCGCUCCGGACUUCGCUCCAGGGCGGGUCGUGCCUUCCAAGGACGGGUGGAUGAACCCCUCCCCGGAGGCCGCAUACUCCUUGGCGUUGGAGAUGACCACAGACUCCUCUCCUAAAGGGAUAUGUGUCUCCGGACCCCCGUAAUCAUCUCCGGCCGUGUGUUCCGGACCGCGCGUAUCCAUGCCCAUUGAAUCUAACUGGGCUCCAGUCAUGGAGUUCACCACCGCGGAUAUCGUUCAUCACUCACCCUUCGGAAACGUGCUAGAUUAUUUAAGGUCUCUCUCUCUCUGUCAGGAGACUCCCGGCCAAACUAUGUCCGGCUCGAGUGGGAAGCUAGCGACGAAAAAAUUCGUUUCCCACCCACCACCCACUUAAUAGCCACGGUCAAUGACUUGACCGAUGUGCUUAACUUCGACUCCAAAGACAUCGACGGUAUAGACGAUGAUGCAGGAGAAGAACAGGAACCACCGCCCACAGGUGGCUGGACUACCACCUCUUCAUAUGACAUAUACAUGGUGGAUACUCCCAAAGAAACCAAUGGCGAUGAGGCAACGGAAAAGAACCCCUCGGGGAAGAAAGCAAAACAUAGGCGUCAUCGGCGCCGCUCCAAGGUUCGCCACAACAAUACCGGCACCGGAGAAGAUAAUCCAGAUGGUGCCGAAGGGGAAUACGAUCCUGAUCAACCCACCAUCAAGCAAGCUGAACAGAAGCAGCAGCAGCUCCAAGCUGACCAAGAUCUGCUCGCAGACAAACGGACUAAGUCCCGGGCAGCCGAAGAAUACGGACUCAAGUGCCGAACAAAAUACUCCCAAAGCGCAGGUUACUACCUCAAUUCGAGGAGGCAGCACUGAAAAUCAAACGCAUGCCUACACCCUGUCGAUAGCACACUACGGCAAGGGGCUGCGCACAAGACCAGCGUCACAUACCAAACAACAACAUAGAAAGUACCCUGGACGAAUCAGCGGACAGAAACAGAGUCCACAAACCUUGGUGCAACAAAUAUAAGCGUCCCAAGACAAAGAAUGGCGCCCGGGGAACGGCGAUCAACAAAGGAGCCCGUAAUCCUCAAACCGUUGAGAGGGAGAAGAGACAUCAACAUCUUAAUCCGGGCCCCUCCAGCUUGAACUGAAUACUUGACCGACCAUGUCAAAUCCAUGGUACCCCAGGAGUAGCAGCCAAUCAUACAAAUAGAGAAUGCUGGGUCUUUAAACAAAUCAGUAGGCCGGCGCCAGAAGGAGCAUGAAGAGGUGCCAGGGCAAGCAACCCAGAUUAUCAGGUCUAGGGACCGACCACUUGAGGAUCAGGCCCCACCAAACAACUCAUUUUAGAGUGUCACACAUAGGCGUAAGGGCCACCCAGGCCCCGCCACCCCGGAGAUGGUCUCCGGAUAGACAAAAAUGUCAUACCAACUUUCGGUCUUAUACUUCCAGGCAGUAGCUAUUCAGCACCGCCAGGGCACACUGCGACUCAAUGCAUUAUCACCCAAAACCCACGUGAUGACAUCACAAUUGCGGUCAUUACCGAGCUUCGCCUCGGCACCGAAGAAUAUUCAGCUACUUUAUUCACUGAAGCAGCGAGUCACGGUUUCUUCAAUCAAACCUAAAUUCGACAGCCGAACUCCCGGACACCGACAAGGGAGUCCGAACUACUUCAGGAUACCCCAACCUAAUCAUAGCUCAUACAGACCCUUCAGCAUAAGCUGGACCGAUCACAUCCACGGCUCAGCCACUGCUCACACACGCCUCUUAAGCACUAUUUGCAGGUUCACCCUCGCACACAUUCGGACCGGUGGCUUGGAAUCAGCUCGGACGCAUACAGGGGGGAUGUCCACCCCACCUGAACACAAUCCAAGUAUUCCUCCGGACCCGCGCACAGCCAACCACCGCCCAGCCCCAACAGGUUCUGCCAUCAUGCCUCUCUUUUAUAACAUGCACCGUACCCAUACGCAUAGACGUAUUACUUAAAUACAACAUGUGGAGUCAUUUGACGCUUAUCUGCUAUUUUUCAACGACAUUUUGUCAUAAUGGCAUCCGAACAUCUUGUUAUGCCUUCGAACGUCAGGGGCUUCCUCGCACCCAUACUAUGCCGUCUAAAGUCCAAACACCUUCUCAGUCGUUCGGCACCCCGAACUUAUAGCAUUAUGUGCAUCAGCUCCGAAUCAUAUCUUGGGUCAUUGGUUGGGUUUGCCCGGCUCCCAUGUUUUGGUACCUUACGUUCCGCAAUAUCGGCUAAGGUAGAGCUGGGAGAACUACUGCGAUUGUGUCCCGGUUCUACCGGACGAACACCUCAGUAGAGAAAGCCGAAAACCAACUGUCAUGAUAAGGCGAGAGAUGGUCAGUUGUUCGAGAGGUUGUCAAAUCUUUAAGGAUUUAUUCCGCAUAAUGCCAUAAUAAAAUGCAGCGUGCGAAGGAUCAGUCCACCGAUCAGGUGCUAUUAGAGCCCCCCGUGCGGUCUUCCGAACACCAGGGGCUGCGCCGCCCAUACUCGAAAUCCUAUGGCUAAGUGAGAGUAAUAAAGCUUUAUAGUCCGAUUGCCUGGUUCGCUGUGCUGAACACCUCCUUCAUGGACCCAAGAAUGGGAUAAAGAGUGUUCAGGUGUAUCCCGAACACCCCCGUAUUUCCUACAUGGGGCCAGAAGCCGAUGACUGGCCAACUCUCAAGACUAACAUAUUAAACAACCGCGCAGGAAUUAAAUUUACGCAUAACAGGCACCUACAUAUAAGUGACUCUGUUUUGCCUUACAAAUCAUAGCACAAUUGCUUUCAGGGAAAAAUAAUGUCUUUCGUACAUUCCUCGGCCACGAGGCGGGCGCCUUUUAAGACGCCAUCAUAAUAUAGUUCGGGCUUGCGGUGCUCCUUCCCCUUCGGCGGCCCCUCGGUCAUCAACUUCUCAGCAUCAAGCUUCCCCCAAUGCAUUUUUGCACGGGCAAAUGCCAUUCGUGCCCCUUUUAUGCAAACUGACCGCUUAAUGACGUCCAGCCGAGGGCAGGCCCUCCCAAUCUGCUUCAUGAGCGCAAAGAAACUGCUCGGUAUGGGCUCGGCGGGCCACAGCCGGAUAACCAAAUCCUUCAUGGCUAGUUCGGCCGCUUGAUGCAGCUCAAUCAGCUGUUUUAGUUGGUCGACAAACGGCACCGGAUAGUUCAGCGCCAAAUACUGCGACCAGAAGAGCUUCUCCGCAAUUUCCUUCUUCUCAGCUCGGUAGAAUUGGGCAACAUCAGAUAUGCUGCGCGGCAAAUCCGCGAAUUCUCCUAAAAAAAUUAGGAUUCAAUGGGUCACCAUGAAUCUUCCCUGCGAAAGCGUAAGACACCUUGAGAAAACAAAAAACCCCCUUACCAGCCGAAAUCUUCCGCGCCUCCUGAAUAUCCUUCAGCAUAGCCUGGGCUUCCUCUCGAGCCUCACUCGCGGUCCGGAGAGCUUGGGCAAGUUCGGAUUCUUUCAACGAUAGACUCUGCUCCAAGCUCUCGUUUCUCCCUACGGCCUCCUGAAGCUCUCGUUCAGCUUCCACGACCCUCGCCUCAUGUUUCUCACGGAGAGUCCGCUCCGUGGCAGCAUUCUUUUCGGCCAAGGCAAUAGCCUUCUUGAGCGCCUCAAUUUCGGCAUCCGCCCGUGGAGCGCGCAAUAUAUAUACUUUAAGAUAGUCACAACUACUUACUUGUGGCAAAACUUACUAAAAGUUUUCCAAACAUACCUUGUUUCUCCUCCAGCAGCUUCUUCACUCGGCCGAGUUCUUCUUCGGCCUGCACCAGACUCUGCUUGAGUCCGAACACUCUGCAGUAUGAGAGGAGGCAGUUGUUGCAGACAUCUGAUUCACAAAUAUAUAUAUAUAUAUAUAUAUAUAUAUAUAUAUAUAUCAUUAGCUAAGUCUCCUGCGGACGGGAAGUUGAUCCCUUGUCCGGUUCCUAUCCUCUUCGAACAGUGUAUCAGGGGCUACUAUCUAUACUAUGACAGUCUUCUACACAUACAUCCAAGCCUUUUAUAAGGCUGGCGCAGGAUUCAUUCAGUCCGCUCUCGGUGGCCUGAAUCUUUUCUAUCACCACUCCCAUAAGGGCGCGGUGUUCAUCAAUAAUGGACACACUCUUCAGUGCUGUCGAUAGGUCGCCUGACGCCUUUGGUUGGACGAAGGUCGCAGGCGGAGUAGGAUCGCCCCCUCCAGUCAAAGGGGGCUGCUUGCCUGAUCUCGGAGCCGUCAGGGUCUCCGGGACCGUGUCCGGCUGUGGGUCGGAUCCACGAUCACCCCCGCCGUCGAUAUUCAUGGGAACCGCCGCUCCCGCGCGUCCAGCCUCCAAGGUGCGCCCCCUGGCUCAUGUCCUUUUCGACGACACCUCGGUGUCACAGCCAGGCUUUGGGGAAGGGGCCCUAGGAGGGGUCUCACUCUGCAAGGCAUCGGAACUCAACGUGUCCUCUGAUGAGUCAUGUUGGGCCGGAGACCUGGCCGGACUGUAAAAAGUACAGUGUGAAUCAAAAUACUGCAUUCUAGUAAAUUCUGGAUGCAUGGAUGUGUCUGGAUUUCGUGCACUUACGAUUUUACCAGGGGCUGGGCCUUGGGAUCCCACUCCGGGCUGCUGUCGGUAGUCGUGGUGGACACCUCAGGGACGGAUGUUCUUCCCCUCUUAGGCGAAUCUGCCUCUAAGGAUGAGGAGGCUGCCCUUUUCUUCCUCCCCCUUGUAAGGGACUCGGGCUCUUCUUCCUCCUCCUCCUCAUUCUCAUCCUCUUCCUCCUCCUCAUUCUCUCUGGAGGAGGGAGGGUCGCUGGAGUCUUCGGACUUCGUGUCCGAAGCGCCCCGACGGCGGAGACUGCUCCUGGUCUCCUUGGCCUUUUUGUUGGCCUCUUUCUUUGGCUCCUUGUAAGGCGCUGGGACCAGCAUCUUCGUCAGAAGAGGUCCCGCCGGUUCUUCCGGCAGCGGGGCCGGGCAAUGAAUCAGCCCCGCCACCUUCGUCCAUUCCUGGGGCAACCGUGGAAAGACACGUUAGAAAACAUGUCCUUCAAAGACAUAGCAAUGGCACAUGCGAAUAACCAAGCUAUGAUGGCGACUUACCGGACUGGCGGGGUGGGACAACUGGUACCCGCGGUCUGCGGCAGAGUCCAGCCAUGGUUUGCCGGACUUAAAGAGCACCUUCCAGAUGUCCUUGUGCAUGGAGCCGAAAAGCUCCCACAGGGUUUGGUGCUCGGCCGGGUCGUACUCCCACAAAUCACAACCUCUAUGCUGGCAAGGAAGGAUCAGGCGGACCAGCAUCACCUGGACCACGUCAACGAGCCUGAUGGCCUUGUCCUCCAUACCUUUGACGCGCGCCUAGAUCACUGACAGUUCAUCGGACGACGACCAGUUUAUGCCCUUCUUGGGCCAGGAUGUGAGCCGCAAAGGGGCUCCAGAUCGAAACUCAGGAGCAGCGGCCCACUUUUUGCCGCGCGGCUCAGAGAUAUAGAACCACUGUUGCUGCCACUCCUUGAUGGAGUCGUUGAAUGUACCCGUCGGCCAUGUGACCUUGGGCAUCCUGCUCACCAUGGCGCCUCCACACUCGGCGUGUUCGUCACUCACUACUUUGGGCUUCACGUUGAAGAUCUUGAGCCAUAGCUCGAAGUGCGGCGAGAUACGAAGAAAGGCCUCACACACGACAAUAAAUGUCGAGAUGUUGAGGAAAGAAUUGGGGGAUAGAUCGUGGAAAUCAAUCCCGUAGUAAUACAUGAUGCCGCGAACAAAAGGGUGGAGGGGAAACCCGAGCCCGCAGACGAAAUGGGGGAGGAAAACAACUCUCUCCUGGGGCUCCGGAGUAGGGACAAUCUGUCCCGCCGUUGGAAGACGGUGGCCGAUUUUCUUGGCCAGAUAUCCGGCCGCUCGGAGCUUCUUAAUAUCCUUCUCCUGGACGGAGGAGGCCAUCCACUUGCCUCCUGCUCCGGAUCCAGACAUUUUUGGAGGACCUUUUUUUGGCGGGGAGGAUGAAUGCUUGGACGCUAGGGUUCAAACGAAAGGAAAGGGGCGAGCAGAGGCAGAAGAAGGCAUGGGUAGAAAGGAGGAGGCUUUCCCCCUUUAUAAAGGCGAUAAAACAUUACGCCUCCCCGCUUGCCUAAUGGAGCCUACUCGUUCCCCACUUACCGUAAUUGAUGGUACGGUUAGGCUACCCAUGCCCGUAUUAAAGAGAAUCCCACAAUAAGGGGACACGAUCUCUGCUUUGACAAGACAUGCCAAAGGAACUGCCUCGCGAUGUGUGCGGAAGCAGGUUGAAGAAAACGGUAUGAAUAAAAACCGGACCGUGGUGUGGUGUCACUUUUCGAAGGAUUGUCAGCAGAUUGAAUUCGUGGAUUAUUAUUGUUCUCUCUACGGUGAUAUAUGGAAUGAUUAUCUUGCAAAGCCGGACACGGUCCUUGUGUUUGGAAUUUAUCUUGGAGUAUUCGGAGAUGGAACCCGUCUCGCAAUGCCGAAGACAAUCUACGCGCCGGACUCAUCGUCAUUGAAGCCUGGUUCAGGGGCUACUGAGGGAGUCCUGCAUAAGGGGGUAUCCGGACAGCCAGACUAAGUACUUUGGCCGAACUGUUGGACUAUGAAGAUACAAGAUAGAAGACUUCGUCCCGUGUCCGGAUGGGACUCUCAUUUGUGUGGAAGGCAAGCUUGGCGAUUUGGAUGUAGAUCUCCUUCUCUGUAAACCGACUCUGUGUAACCCUAGCCCCCUCCGGUGUCUAUAUAAACCGGAGGGUUUAGUCCGUGGGACUAAGGAUCAUUAUCAUCAACAAUCAUACCAUAGGCUAGCUUCUAGGGUUUAGCCCAUCUGAUCUCGUGGUAGAUCAACUCUUGUAAUACUCAUAUCAUCAAGAUCAAUCAAGCAGGAAGUAGGGUAUUACCUCCAUCGAGAGGGCCCGAACCUGGGUAAACAUCGUGUCCCCAGUCUCCUGUUACCAUUAGCCUUAGACGCAUAGUUCAGAACCCCCUACCCGAGAUCCGCCGGUUUUGACACCGACAGACACCUUGGGACAUGUCGGCUUCUCGAUUUCCACGGUGAAGACAUCGGUGGAGAAGGUCAUGAUGGCCGAGAUCGGAUGAUCAGUUAGACAAAUGGAGCCUUGGAGGCGAUGGAGUCAGUCAGGUGUCAGAUAACUCUUUGGAGCAUCAGUGAUAAAUGGGGGCGACAACACUAGUGGAUUUCAUUUUUGGUGGUACUCCUCGAGUGCCGAGUCGUGACUUUUAGGGUGAAAACCUAAGGUCUUCUCUUUAUUGUCUGUGCAUGGCGAUUGCCUUGUCGAAGGAUUUGUUUUGAGAGUGCGAACUUUCUUCAGGGUGAAAAUCUAAGAUUUUGGAUUAGGUAACGAUGGCGCUUGUGCACUGUUAUCUUCUUGAAGGCGUUACUUUUGGAGACCUUUUAUGUUUUUCGGGUGUUGUAUUAGGUGGUGAUAGGUGUGCUGCUGUUGAGAGGAGUCAAUCGCUGUGGCGGGACCUUUCUUUUUUUCUUUCUUUUUAUUUUUUUCUUUGGAUGUGUGCAUCCUGGAUGUUUUUGUGACAUCUUGUAGAUGCAGAGGCUGGAUGUAAUUGGUUCUUCGUGAUAUUAGUGAAUUCCUUUUUAAAAAAAAGGUUGUAUGAGGUUAGCAAUUUCUUCGGAAACGCAUGACAAUUUUUGAAAGAGAAAUUUUACAGGAAAACGACAAGAUUUUCAUCUCCUAUCAAAGAAAGUUGCCUUAGAAAACAUUUGCUUGCCAACCCCCUCCAGCUGACGUUGGUUUUUUUUGGAACGAAGACGUUAGAAGCGUCCGGCUUUAAAUUAAUAAAGCCCAUAAGGCAACAGGUUCAAACGAUUACAAACUUAGCAAACUAAAGAAAGUAUCAGCGGUCCACGACCGGCACGGGGAAUGACAUAAGGUUCAUCGCGGCGUCAAUAUUACAACCAUCCAAACAGGACAGCGCAACGACCAAGCUAACAGACUUGCCACAAAAGUCACUCCAAAAACAUCUUCAGCUCGCCGGAUCCUGUCUUGCUUGCGCCUGAAUCGCCUUGAUGCGCGCCAUGGCUUCUGACAUGCGCUCAGCAUCGCGCUCCUUCCCCAGAGGGGUCCACAUCUGCAGAAAUAGGUGGCAUUUGAAGAUCACGUCUGCAGGAUGGUUAGGAAUUUUUUUUCUCGAUUGUAAUCUUGUUACGCGUCGUCCAAAUAGCCCAAAUCAGCGCCCCUACGCAAUGCCAAGCUAUUCUACUUGAAGUCCCUUUUGUGGACUUUAGGAUGGAGACAAGUUGGUGCCCCGAGGUAGGGUUCCAGUCCGUGUGGAAGGCCUCCCGAGCCGCACUCCACACGAACCUGGCCAAAUGACAUCUAAAAAUACAUGGUUCGCAUCUUCGCCUAGACCGCAAAUCAAGCAAGUACCGUCAGUCGGACCAUUUCGUUUGGCCACAUUAUCUGACGUAGGCAGCCUAUUCCUAAGCAUUUGCCACCUGAAGAUUUUUAUCUUCAAAGGCAGUCCUGCCUUCCACAGCCCCUUAGCUAUAUCAUGUGAUGGCCCUUCCGUGAGCUUGUUAUAUAGGGACUUAACCGAAAAUUUCCGCGAAGCAGUCAGGCUCCACUCUACCGUGUCAACCGUCGUCCCUAGACGGUUGACACCGAUCUGCUGUAUCAGCCCAUCCCAAGAUGCACACUCUUCGUUCGUAAGGGACCGCAUAAAGUGGAUCGGCGGAGGAUCGGUGCGAAUUGCCUCCCCCAACUAAGACGUUAGUGUUAGUGGCUAUCCGAAAAAGGUUGGGGUGGCUUUGCCAAAUGGGGGAUGCACCCAGGCAAUGGUCGAGCCAAAACCGGGCUGAUUGGCCAUUGUUAAUCUGAAAUUUGGCCCCAAUGUCAAAAGCCGGCCGCGCCGCUUGGAGCCCUCUCCAAAACACGGAGCUGUUGGCCGAGGCAGUGAAGGGUUUCCCGUUCGGGAAGUACUUGGCCCUUAACAGUCUCGCCCAGAGCCCCGACUCAUUUUGCGCCAACCACCACCACCAUUUGGCAAGGAGGGCGAUGUUCAUCAGUUUGGAAUUGAGUAUUCCCAAUCCACCAUAUUUUUUUGGCCUACAAACAGCCGCCCAUUUGACUAGGUGGUAUUUCCUCUUGAUUCCAGUUCCUUCCCAAAAGAACCAGUCUCUCGGAGUAUCUAGCUUAGCGUGAACGCCGUUAGCUAGUAGGAACAUCCCCAUUGUGAAAAGGGGAAGAGAAGAGAGGCUCGAGUUCGUCAGAAUAAGCCUUGCGGCAGAGGACAUGAAUCUCCCAUGCCAGGGGCUUACCCUGUUGACCACUUUCCCGUACAGGGGCUCCCACUCAAAAAUCGAAAGUUUGCGGUGAGAUAUAGGAAGCCCAAGGUACUUAAUUGGAAAGCUCCCCAGCUUGCAAUUAAGUAGGUUUGCGACACGUGUGCUGUGCUGGUCUUCCAUCCCCAUGGUAAUGACCUCACUUUUAAGAAAGUUAAUCUUGAGUCCGGAGAGGAGCUCAAAGGCUAAAAGCAAGAGCUUUAUCGUAGCAAUACUAUGGUCGUCCGGGUUAAACAGCAGCAAAGUGUCGUCAGCAUAUUGGAGGUGUGUCACACCACCUGGAAUGAGGUGUGGGACAAGGCCUUGACGUGUCCUGCCUCCCUGGCUUUGGACAACAUGGUAGCCAAAGCGUCCGCCACAAAGUUAAAGACGAGAGGGGAAACGGGGUCGCCUUGUCUAAGGCCUUUCCUAUUAUGAAAGAACUUACCCAUAUCUCCAUUGAUAAUAACCAAGGUGUUGCCACUCGAGAUCAGAUGCAUGAUCCGGUUGACGAACCCUGCCUCAAAACCCUUUUUGAGGAGGACCUCCGUACAAACUCCCAGUUUACACGAUCGUAUGCUUUUUCAAAAUCUAGUUUGAGGAUGACACCCUGGCCCCGCAAAUGUUUCAACUCAUGGAUUAUCUCCAUAAGGGCAAUAGGCCCUUCCAGGAUGUUCCUGCCUUUAAGGAAAGCGGUCUCGCUAGUGCUAAUGACACGUUGAGCGACCGACGCUAACCUAGAAGCAUAGGCCUUGGCACAAAUCUUGACAGGAACGUUUAUGAGCGUGAUCGGCCGGAACUGCUUAAUUGAUUCCGCCCCUUUAACCUUGGGGAUCAAGCAUAUUGCCCCAUAAUUGAGACGCGACAGGUCCACCGAACCAAGGGCGAAACCAUUGAGAAUCGCUAGAAACGAGACCCUAAGUGUCUACCAAAACCAUUUGAAGAACUCCACCGGCCAUCCAUCCGGACCAGGAGCCGUGCCGUUCUUCAUACCAGCUAGCGCACUAUCGAGCUCUUGGGGCGAAAAGGUCACCAUCAAGGCGUUGUUUUCCUGCUGCGAAACUCGCUCGUGCAAAUCCCAUAAGUCUUCCAUGAGACUUAAACUCUUUGCUUUGGCUGUUCCCAACAGCUCGACGAAGAAAUCAAAGAUGUGCUUAACUAUUUUGUUUUGGGUGACCAGGGUCCCGACCUCCGACUCGAGCCUAAGAAUCGUGAUCUUGCGCUUACGACCAUUAGCGUAAGCAUGGAAGUAGCCCGUGUUUGCGUCGCCUUUCACGACCCACUUGACGCCGCCCCUGCGGCGCCAAUACUCCUCCUCCGCCCUGAGAAUAGUCAGGACUUGGUGCUCUAAGGAGUAUCUAUACUCCCAUUCGUCCCCAGAGAAGGCUCUCACGUCCGCCUGCGCGUCUAGGAGAGCGAUUUCAUCCAUGAUGCGCUCCCUAACCCUUUUAGAUUCGCUGCCAUGAUUGGCGCCCCAACCCCUGAGGAAAGCCCGUAAGGCGGCAGCCACAGAGGAUCAGAACUCUACUGGUCCUCGUUGGCGGCCAACCUGGUUACCAAUCAAGGACCACCGAUCCGUGACAAGUUGGCAGAAACCUUCAUGUUCGAACCACGCAGUCUCAAAAAAGAAUCUACGGCUACGACGCACACUUUCCUCCCCUGAGGAUAGGAUCAGAGGUACGUGGUCUGAUCCAAUGCGCGUUUCAGCCACUAAGGUACAGAGGGGAAACAAGACCUCCCAGUCACUUGAACAAAAAACACGGUCAAGUACACAUCGCACUGGCUCCUGCUGUUUAUUUGUCCAAGUGUAUCUUGCCCCUGUACGCACAAUCUCUCUAAGAGCAGCGGCCGCGAUGGCAUUAUUGAACAAGGACACCCUAGCCCAGUCAAUGUUGUCGUUGCUCUUAUCAAGUUAAAAUCGCCUCCCACCAACACUGGUAAGUUAGACGUUUGUUUGGCCCCAACCAGAGUUGUGAGUUCUCCCAAGAACUCAGCAGACCUCGCAUGAUUAGACAGCCCAUACACACUUACGAUCACCCAAAAGGCAAGGGAAACCCGGUGACGAACAGUGGCAGCGAUAUAAAACGAACCAGAUUCCCACAGAAUAACGUCGCAAGUGUCUUUAUUACAGCCCAUCAAUUGACCACCAGAAAGGCCCACAGAAGGAGUCCAGAACCAAUCAAAACGCUGGAGCGGAUCGUACGCCAAAAGAUCUCUAAACGAAAAAUUAGCCUUAAUCGUCUCCCGGAGCGCGACAAAGUCGAUGCGUUCUUUGGACAUAUACUCACGUAGUUGCGUACGCCGCCCCACAUGCCCGCAACCGCGGAUAUUCUAGAAGAUGUAUCGCAUCAAAUGAUCCGGUUGCGCAGGCGAACUCCACGGGAGCUAACCGCCUUGGCCACACGCUUCCUAGCCGGCGCCCGGCUGGAAGAGGGCAAGUCCGAGGCCACCCUGGCCUCGUCUCCCUCGAUGGGCAGAGCGACAACACCAGCCCCUACUGGUGCUGAAGACUGGCCGUCCACGGGAUGAACCGCCACGCCCCUGGCAGCAGCAGCCGCAAGGGCGGCCUGAGCUUCUUCACGCGCGCGCACUAACGGAAUAAUGUCCAAAGUCGAAGAAUCUAGCGCAACGCCACUAUCGUGAAGAAUCUCAGCAAGAUGCUCGUCAGAAAAAGCAUUCAGAAUCUUAAAAGAAGGGGUAAGGUUACCUGCAACAUCCAUGUUUUUGUCAUCAGCACGGAGCUUGGCACUUUCCAGAGAAGUUAAGUCCCCAAGCUUGGCCUUGGCGCGUGCGCUUGGAUCCCGAGAUGCUACCGGGGUUGCCCUUGUACGCUUGGCCUUGGCUGCCGGCCCUGAAGCCACCAAAGCCGCCCCCAACUCGCCCCCAGCGCCGCCGCCGACCCCGCUGCAGCCGUGUCCACCGUCUUGCACCCAGCCUUCCGCCCAGCAGUCUUCUUGGCCUGGCGGCCUGAGCUGCUCGACAGGCGCCUGAACGAGGCCGGAGUGGGGACCGAGUCCAUGAGAACGCAGUCCAACCCCGAGCCCCCUCCGCCCUCUGGAGAGGCAGGCAAGGCCUCGAUCUCCAUUGCCACCAGCGAUAGAGGCACUGUCGCAUUCCCAAGCCCUUCGAAGGACGGGUCCAGAGAGCGAGCGAGGGGAGGAAGGCUAACGGCCGUGUCUUGAGUCGCAACCACCCCUAGUUUCUCCCAAGUCUCAAUAUCUAUUGAAGUAUCUUGGAUGCUAUCUUCAUGCUCAUCAGCCAGCUCGCCCAUCACCGCAUCUUGACCAACCACCCACACUCCGAAGCCAGCCGCCUCCUUCUGUGGCACCACCGUCGCAUCAAUGGGCACAAUCGCACCAGUGGCAGCCACCUUGGAGGAAUUGCCUGCGUGUGGCCCAGGCUUGUGAGGCCCGCCCUUGCCAUGCUGGCUGUCAGUCGAGGGGGGGGGGAGGGGCCCGCCCCAGGAGCCCCUCCCCCAACCCCCAGCCGCCGCGACAGCUGCUCCAGCUCAACCCUGAUCUGGUACCCUUCGUGGUUGAACCAAACCUCCACUGUGCCAUUCAGCUUGGCCGGAGUCUUGCAAGCCAGUUUCAUCCUCACCGGACCCAAUUUAAUGAUGGAGAGCUCGUCUACCACGAUAGGCCUCCCCAAACAUCAUGAAAGCCUCCUUGAUUCGCUUAAUCUUGCGAUGUUUCUCAGGGAUCCCAUGGAGCCGCACCCAUGCUUCUGGCAUCACCAUUGGUGGGAUCACCUCGUGCACCACAUCUCGCAUCCUAGCAGUGAUGUUGUUAAUUGAGAGGAACAACUUGCCACUUGUUCGAGCCAUAUGAAGGAGAUCUGCAGAGGGGAAAACCACCAUGAAAUCGUCUUCUCCCACUUGAGAGACUUGCCAGUCCCAAUCGCCCAUGACCAUGUGCUUGAGCUCCUGCUUGAGGACCCGCAGGUUCAGGCGGCCCGGCUCUGCAGAGAGAAUCGCAGCAUUGCCGACCGAGAGCUGCCGAGGACCCUCGGACUCCGCCUCCUCUUCGAACUGCAGACAGAAGAAGCCCUCCCUUGAAAUUGCGCUUCCCAUGAUCUGCAGGCUUGGCUGUCGACCCCUCGUCGGACAGUGCACAGAUGCAUGUCCCUCUUCCUUGCAUAGCACACAUAAGGGUUGAAAUUUGCACUUGGACUGAUAGUGACCUAGCCUGCCGCACUUGAAACACCCCACAUCCAUCGCCUCCGACGCGUCCUCCACCGAAAUGGGCUCGCCCGUUGUGCCCUUUGCACCAGGGGUAGAGACACCGCCAGAGGUUCGGUCGCCGCCCUGGGCUUCUUGGCCAGAGGAUCCCCAUGGCCACCACCAUAGUUGGGUAGAUCCGCUGGCUUGCGCUCGAGCUCCCGGCGCCGAGCCAUCUCUUUUUUCUUCUUUCUUCGCUCCUGCUGCUGGAUCCACCAAGGGGGAGGAGGACCCCAAUCCCCCUCGUGCCCCUCCUGCUCGUGGCUUCGCUCAGAUCUGCCGCUCGGUCUUGCACGCAUCUCUUUCUUCACCUUCUCCCGCAGGUCUCGCUCACGCCGCCACUCCCCAUCCGAGACCGGAGGCUCCAUUGGCCUCUUCUCCGCACGCCGCCCGCUCAUCACCGCCGCCGCAAACGAAAUGGAGAGAGGAGGAGGUGGGGAGAUGGGAUGGAUGGAGCGAGCGAGGUGAGCCCAGCGCCGCAUCUCGUUUCUGAAUGCAGGAGACCCUAGCGAGGGGUCGAGGCAUCCGCGGCACAUCCAUAUAUAGGCGCCAGCGCUGGGCCGAGGCCGAGGGAGGCGCGGCGCAGGCCGGUCAGAAUCAACAAGCCCACUUAGAGCCAGUCCCCCGGGCCCAGGAGGCACACUGUCCCCCACUUGACUAGGGCCGCCGACCCCCACCAACCUUGGUGAGUGGGCCGGCCCACGGUCCACCUGCCCCUCGACGGCCCCGGGCCCAGUGCCCGCAACCCUAGCCUCAAGGGAGACAGAUCCGACCGCCGCCUCCUGCGGCCCGGCCGCCGUCGCUGCCAGCACCCGACCGACCACCGCCGACGCCGGCAGGCACACUCCACCUCCGAGUCCAUCGGAGCCAGGAGUGCAGCCGCCGCCCUCGCCCGGAUGCCCCACGCGGCACCCCCCGGAGACGCCGAGCCCCUGCCCGGAGUCAAAAAGGGUCUCCAUGCACGGACUGUGACCUCGCGCGACCCCCGUCCGCCCGGAGCGAAACGGCGGCGCGCCCUCGCGGUGCCGCUCCCUUGCGCGUGCGCACAAGCCACAUAAUCACCAAGCGACGGCCUCGCCGGCACCAGAGUCUCAGCCUCCGCCGCUGAAUCCACGACCUCCUCGUCCUCCGAAUCGAAAUCAGCCAGCGCCCAGAAGCGGCCUCCCACUGACGCCAGCGUCGCGCCUGCCCCCAUGGCUGGCCCCGCCCUCGGCGGAGAGGAGCUAGCGCCUCGCCGGACCACCUCCCAGCCCUCGCUGGCCGGAGCCGAAGGCGACCGGGGCGGGGAGCCCGGGCUGUCGCCAGGAGGAGAGCCUAACGGUCCGCUCAUUUCAAAACCCCCUACCAGCAUCGAAGUCUCUGCUAGCUAGUUCGUUUACACGACUUCAGUGACAUGCCGCAUUCCAGCUGACGUUGGUCAGUUAAUCAGUUAUUAUUACCAUGAAAGAUAAGACAAUAAUUUUUUCCAUUUCAUGUAAGCUAGAAACUGGACAAGAAAGCACGAUCGACCGUAGGAGGUCAUGAGGGUUUGCUCAUGUGCAAGCACAACAGUGACAACAGAUCCGCAUAAUUACCUAUCAACUGAUGAAGCGCCCAAAAUUAGCAUAAGAGAAAAUAUGCGCCACCAUCAGUGCACCGCAUCUCCGCACGAGACUAGCCACAGUGGGGAGUAACAUACACUAGUAACAUAAACAUAUCCCUAGACUAUGUUACUACCUUCAUAGUGGGUAGUAACAUAAGCGUGGUAACAUGCAAAGCUUUAUUUAUUAGGUUAUAGACUCAUAUUGCAUUGGGACAUGUGAUGUUACAGUAACUAACUAAGUUACUAUAACUACCUCUCACCUCAUUAACUCAUUGCCAUAUAAGCAAAUUUGCUGAGUUGGACUCGAUACUGCUGAAGUUACUCCCACUAUGGCUAGUCUGAUGCUCUUCAUACAGUUCGAGUAUAAUGAAUCAGUUCGAGUAUAAUUGAAUUUCUUCACGUCCCGCUUUAUGCGAAGCAAACACAGUUGUCCGGCGGCAUGGACGCAACAUUGUUUUCAUUUUAUUUGUAUCCCUGUUUGCUGCUGGGUGACUUGAACUUGAUUCACGUUUAAUAAAAUAUUUAUCUUGUGAUGCAGAGGUCAGGCUACUCUUCUUCUGAAAAAGCAAGAUAUAUGCACAGUAAAACAGUAUGCUAGUGGUCAAUGCCACCAUUGGAUACUUAUAAGAGUCAUGUACAGCAUAAUUUGCCUUGUUUCAAAACAAAAAGUACGGCAUAAAACUGAGUCUCCGACCGCGCGCGCGCAUGUCACUCCCUGCGCCGCAUGAGGCGGUGCAACUGAGCACGGUUCCCUGCUAAGCAAAUCCGAAUAAUUCCACGAAGGGUAGUAACGACUAACGAGUGUGUGCUGACUUGAUCGUGCCGUGGUGUGUGGGCAAGCUUCAUGGUUUAGUUCGUUGUGCUAAAUGCAUGCCGAGCCGGGUCCGUUUGUCCACGAGCCCGUGCAGAUCAGGUCCAGGCUUGCCUAUUUGGCGCUGCAGGCGCCCGUUAUAGGGCAUUUUGCUAGCGGGCGCCUGCAGUGCGCACCCCCUGCCGCGAUUUCUGGCCGGCCCAGUUCCUUCCCUUCCCAUCUCUUUUUCUGUCAAACGUCGAAAAAAAAGUGAGCUAGGGAGGAUUCGAACCUGCAACCUACAAUGCAAUUUAGCAAAGCACCAACCACUCGGAAAAACCAACCACAUGUGACCAGAUGCACAUUUUUCUCCUUCUAUUCUUUUCCCAGAACGCGACCGGGUUUUGUUUUCUUAUCUUUUUUUCUGUUUCUUUUUCUUUUUCAAAUGCGUGAACUUUUCUCAAUUUUCGCAAAAAAAUAAAAUUGAUGAACUCUUUUUUAGAUUUGUGAACUUUUUCAGAAUCGAUGAUUUUUUUUCAAAUUUGAUGAACUUUUUUUCAAAUCCGGUGAACUAUUUUCAGUUUUCAUGAACUUUUUGGAAUUACUUUUUUUGAAAUCCGGUGAACUAUAUUCAGUUUUUAUGAACUUUUUUGGAGUUUGAUGAACUUUUUUUUAAAUCCAGUGAACUAUAUUCAGUUUUUAUGAACUUUUUUGGAAUCUGAUGAACUUUUUUGAAAAUCAAUUAACUUUUUUUUUAAAAUUAUGAACUUUUUUUAAAUCAAUUUUUUCAAAUUCGAUGAACGUUUUUCAAAAUUGAUGAACCUUUAUCAAAUUCGAUGAACGUUUUUCAAAUUUGAUUUUUUAUUUUAAAAUCUGUGAAAAAAAUUUAAAUUUGAUGAUUUUUUUUUGUAAAAUCGAUGAACUUUUUUUUUGAAAGUCAAUGAACCUUUUUCAGGUUUGUGAACUUUUUCUUCCAAAACGAAGAUCUUUUUUCCAAAUAAUUCAAAAAAAGUAAUUGGUACCAUAGAUGAAUGAUUAUGUUCAAUAAAAUAGCACUGCAGCCUUGUCAUUAAGCUCCUGCCUCUGGUACUAGUCAUGAAUGGCAAGUAGCUCAUCUGGCUGGUUGCAAUUGUGUGUCAUCACGUGGUGGUGAGUUCGAAUCCUGUGAGGAGAGCAUAUUUUUUUCCCCUUUUUGGUUUUGCGAGCUUUUCGCGUUCACUGAUUUGCACUUCCCAUAGGCCGGCCCAGCGCGGGGCGCAGUAGCGCCAACGGGCGCCUGCAGCGCCGUAUAGGAGCUCCCCAAAAUCCAAGGGCCCAAGGUUGCCUUGCUUGGUUAUUAGGCCAUGCAUGUUGUGAUCAAGCCAUUUCUGACGUACGGGUCAAAUGUUGACUUACUCGGGCACCGUUGACGCUGACGUUCCAUGAUUAAACAUUAGGAGGUCUCGUUGCAAAUUUGACGAGUCUUUUUACAAGAGUUGUACAACUACAAACUCAUCGGAUGUUCACCGAGUUCGUUAGACUGCGGGUAUAUUCCACUAUCAGCAACUCCAUCUGGUUUUUUACUGAGCAGAUGUUCAACACGUCUGUGCUACAUAAACUUCCGAUUUUCAACAAAAAAAGAUUCUUUUUUAAGGGAUUCAACAUAAGAUUCCUAAUGAUGUGAUGCCCUUUUUUAUGAGUUUUGUGCAUGUGUGCUGUGAUUAGUAUUGUGUUGUAUAUGUUCGUAAAGAAGGGAGUGUUUUAGUUUAUAAUAUUAUCAAGGAGUAAAAAUUACAUAACCUAAAGAUACAAAAACAAUUGCUGGCAGUGCACCCACCAUCUCGUAAAAACCGAGCAAGUUCUCUCUCGAAACUUAAGGAUUACUGUUGUAGUUGAAACAGUAGGAAUUAAUCAAUCCUUAUUUCGUAUGUUCUCACUCUACAAAUAUGCCCCAUAUAAUUUUGUAAAUUGUGCAUGGCACGUGCUGAGUCACUAGUAGAAAAUGUGGCACUCUUGUUUGUUGAAUAAUUGUCACUUGAUUGCAGCCUUGACCGAAGUAGUAUGAAUCUAUGGGAGCAAUGAGGGAUACCAAGUGCUAAGAAAAUAGGCAAUUUUUUGACUAAUUUAAUCCAUAAGUAGAUAACUAGCAUGGCAUUGACAGAACUAACAACAUACUGGUACUGAUCUAAACGAGCACAUACUAUGCAAAUAGUAGACAAAUCUACACAUGAUGCUAGCACUGCUAAUACAGAAAUUAUCAUGAGAGGGAUAAACGCGGUAUACCCUCCAGUAGGCCAUGCAGUAGCCGCCGCCGCGGUGGCAGCAACAGAAGCGUCCUCGACGGCCUUCUUGUCGGCCUCGGUCUUCUCGGCGACGGCGCGUUCGGCGUCGCUGGACAUGGUGAUGACGGAGACGGCGCGGACGUAGAGGAAGUAGUGAAUCGGAGGCGAGCAGUCGCGUAGUCGCUUCCCAAAAACCUAUUCGUCUCUCUCCCGUACAGGAACCAGAGAGACGGAGUUUCGGAGACCUGCUCUUCCGUCGACCGUGUAUGCGGCGGACAGGAUGGAGUCACCGGCGACAGCAGCAGCAAAGGAACGACGGUCGGCGGUGCGCGUGGAGCAGAUGUGAUCUGAUCAUGGCGGCUAGGGUUAGGGGACACACCACACUUAUAUAGACGCAGCCGCGUGGAGAGACGUGGGCUUGACCCACGUCCGAGUCCGUGACAGCCCACGAUCCGACGUCUCGGAUCGUGGCCCUGCUGUCAGAACCUCUCCGUUAGUGACUGGCAAAAAUAAGCGCAUAGGUGUGAGCUCGGCUCGGCUCAUUCCCUCAACACGCAACCCGCGGCGCGGCGCGUCGUGACGAGGCGAGGCGUGCGGCGGAGGAGGAGCGCGUGAGGGCCUCUUCUCUUCUCAAGCUCCAAUAGCAUGUAGAAGAGCCACCCUUAUAAACCACUCCAACUUUCCUUCCACUAGCAUGGUGGGACUAAACUUCCCACCACCUUGUCAUGCCACCUACAUGGGCCCUUAGAGAUCAAAUCUGAAAUUGUCAUAUGGGCUCUAGGCCCAUCUCACAUUUCAACAAUCCCCCACCAGAUCUCAGGGGCCCACUUUGUCCUUUGUUCCAAACGCUGUUUUGAUAUACUAGUGUUUCAGUGAAGACCUGUUAAGGUUGAGCUUCACCUAGAGCAAGUAGCUACACUCCUUCAUAACUGAACAAUGGACUAUGUCUUGAAUUGUCAGUUUGGCGUAAAGAAGUUUCACCACAUGUCUUACUAGUACUGGGCUGCCGAAGGCUGACUCCUCGGGUGGAGCAUAUAAGUCACAGUCCUGGCCUAUUCAUGAGCUUACUAGAGAUCACCCCAAUCUCAUGGACUGUGACUAGCAGUCGGGCUCACAUAGGUGUGUUCCUCCAAAGAUCGCUCUGUAGGAUAGCAUCUUGCUUGUACAUAUAAGCCUUGGAACACAUUAAGACAGUAGUCAUCCUUCCAUACAGUUUCCGAGAGUAUUGCAUCUCCAACGGGGUGGGUUAGUAAAGUUACUCUCCUCAGUUCACCACUGGCUUGUUUCCCAGGUCCUACUUCACGGGAUCUCCGAUCACAUAGGUUGGGUUACCACCAUGGCAACCUAUGUGGGUCUCAUACCCAUCUCCCUCGAUGCACUAUCUAUCACUACACGUGAUAGCCCUUUCGUAAAGGGAUCUGCCAGAUUCUUAGCCGUAUGGACAUAGUCCAGCGCUAUCACUCCGGAGUUUCUUAAUUUUCUGACACCUUUUAAUCUCAUUCUUAUAUGUUUGUUGGACUUCAUGUUGUCCUUUGAACUCUUCACCUUGGUGAUGACAGUCUGAUUAUCACAGUUCAUAAGGAUAGCCGGAACCGGUUUAUCAACCAGUGGCAAGUCCAUCAAAAGAUCUCGAAGCCAUCCUGCUUCAACACCAGAAGUGUCUAAUGCUGUUAAUUCUGCUUCCAUUGUCGAUCUUGUUAAGAUCGUUUGCUUGCAAGACUUCCAAGAAACAGCACCACCUCCAAGAGUAAACAUAUACCCAGUUGUGGCCUUCAUCUCAUCAGCAUCAGAGAUCCAAUUCGCAUCACUAUACCCUUCAAGUACCGACGGGUCUCCGGUAUAGUGAAGUCCAUAGUUCAUAGUACCUUUCAGAUAGCGCAUAACUCUUUCAACAACAUGCCAAUGUACAUCACCGGGUUUGGAAACAAACCGGCUCAGUUUGCUCACAGCAAAUGCGAUGUCAGGCCUCGUUGCGCUCGCUAGGUACAUCAGUGAACCAAUGAUUUGAGAGUAUCUCAAUUGAUCUUUAGCCAUGCCUUUGGACUUUCUAAUCAACACGCUAGGAUCAUAUGGUGUUUGAGAUGGUGUGCAGUCCAAAUAUCCAAAAUGACUCAACACCUUCUCAACAUAAUGGGAUUGCAGAAGUGUGAUCCCACCCUCAUUAUCUCUCAGUAGCUUGAUGUUCAAGAUAACAUCAGCCACACCAAGGUCCUUCAUCUCAAAGUUCUGAGACAGAAACGAUUUGACCUCCUCAAUGACUUUGAGGUUUGUUCCGAAUAUCAGUAUGUCAUCAACAUACAAGCACAGUAUAACUCCUUCGCCCCCACCAUGGCGAUAGUAUACACAUUUGUCAGCCUCAUUAACAACGAAACCAACAGAUGUCAGAGUUGUAUUGAACUUAUCAUGCCAUUGCUUAGGUGCUUGCUUCAGGCCAUAUAAAGAUUUCAGCAACUUACACACCUUCCUUUCCUGACCAUCUAUCACAAAGCCAUCUGGCUGUUGCAUGUAGAUUUCCUCAUUUAGCUCUCCAUUCAGAAAAGCCGUCUUAACAUCCAUUUGAUGGACGAGAAGACCAUGUGAGGCCGCCAACGAGAGUAAUACUCGAAUGGUGGUCAGUCUAGCCACAGGUGAAUAAGUAUCGAAGAAAUCUUCCUCUUCUUUCUGGUCAUAGCCCUUGGCCACAAGCCUGGCCUUGUACUUUUCAAUCGUACCAUCUGGCCUAAGCUUUUUCUUGAACACCCACUUACAUCCCAAUGGUUUGCAACCAUAGGGACGCUCAGUGAUCUCCCAUGUCCCAUUAGCCAUGAUGGAAUCCAUCUGGCUACGGACCGCAUCCUUCCAGUAGUCAGCUUCUGGAGAGGCAUACGCUUCUGAGAUAGAAGUGGGAGUAUCAUCCACGAGGUACACGACGAAAUCAUCACCAAAGGUCUUUGCAAUCCUUUGUAUCUUGCCCCUACCAAGGGUUUCCUCGUCAUCCUCCUCAGGAUUUUCAUCAUGUGUUCGUUCAUAAUAUUCCAUAGAAAUGGCAGGCUCAGGAGUCUCCUCAGAUUCCUGUCUAGAAGUGCUUUGCAUAUCUCUCAUAGGAAAAAUAUCCUCAAAGAACGUAGCAUCCUUAGACUCUAUGAUUGUACCGACCUUCUGGUCAGGUAACUCAGAUUUCACUACUAGAAAUCUAUAGCCAACGCUGUUCUUAGCGUAGCCCAAAUUAACGCAGUCCACAGUCUUGGGUCCAAGCUUACGCUUUUUGGGGAUCGGCAUGUUGACUUUCGCCAAGCAGCUCCAAGUAUGCAAGUACGAGAGUGUUGUCCUUCUCUUUGCCCAUCUCUCAUAGGGAGUGAUCUCGUUAUCCUUUAUCGGAACUUUAUUCAGGACAUGACAUGCCGUCAAUAUAGCCUCCCCCCACCAUGCCUUGGAUAAACCCGACGUAUCUAACAUGGCGUUAACCAGAUCAGUUAGAGUAGGUUUUUCCGCUCGGCAACCCCGUUUGACUGGGGUGAAUAGGGAGGCUUCCUCUCAUGAAUAAUGCCGUGUUCCGCACAGAAGGAAUCAAACUCACUCGAGAAGUACUCUCCACCACGAUCUGAACGGAAUCGUUUAAUUUUCUUUUCAAGUUGAUUCUCAACUUCUGCCUUAUAGAUUUUAAAGUAGUGUAGAGCCUCAUCUUUAGUAUUUAACAGAUACACAUAGCAAUAUCUAGUGGAAUCAUCUAUCAAUGUCAUGAAGUAUUUCUUUCCACCUUUAGUCAAUACACCGUUCAUCUCACAAAGAUCAGAAUGUAUGAGUUCUAAUGGUGCCAAGUGUCUCUCCUCCGCAGCCUUGUGAGGCUGGCGAGGUUGCUUAGCUUGCACACAUGACAGGCACUUAGAACCUUUGACUAAAGUGAAUGCCAAACCUCAGAUUCAUUAACACUCGAAUGAAUAUGGUUCAUGACUUUAUUACAGAAAUCUGCGAGGGAAAGGCGGAACAUCCCUCCGCUCUCAUAACCUUUUCCAACAAAUAGUCCAUACUUAGUAACAACUAAUUUAUUAGACUCGAAUACCAACUUAAACCCUUCUCUGCAUAGAAGGGAGCCACUAACGAGGUUCUUCUUGAUGGCGGGGACAUGCUGCACGUUCUUCAGCUGCACGAUCCUUCCCGAAGUAAACUUCAGAUCGACCGUGCCAACACCAUGAACAGAAGCACUCGUGCCAUUGCCCAUCAAUACGGACCCGUGGCCUGUGACCUGGUAAGAAGAGAACAAUGAAAUGUCAGCACACACAUGAACACCUGCACCUGUAUCCACCCACCAAUCGGUAGGCUGAAACACUGAAAAAACAGUAAAUAAAUUACCGUACCCAGAUGCAUCAUUCUCAUUGUUGCCCACAAUCAUGUUGACAGACUUGGAGUCAUGUCCUAACUUCUUAAACUUGUUUGGGCACUUGUUGGCCCAAUGUUCAGCCGAACCACAAGUAAAGCAGCCCUCAUCCUUCUUGUUCUUCUUGAAGGUCUUCUUACCCUUCUUCUUGAAGUCGGUGUUCUGUUGGACACCGUUCUUUCCCUUAAACUUGUGGGAGUUGAAGUUCCUCUGGUUCACCAUGUUGGCAACAGAAGUCCCUUCGGCCCCUUUUCCGUGCGAGUCCUUUGCCCUCGAAUUCUGCUCAACACUCAGAUGGACAAUGACAUCCUCCACAGAGAAUUCACGCCUCUGAUGUUUCAGAGUGGUGGCAAACUUCCUCCAGGAAUUGGGGAGCUUAGCGAUUAUGCAGCCCGCGACAAACUUGCCCGGUAACUUGCACUUCAGAAGCUCAAGCUCCUUAACAAUGCAUAUUAUCUCAUGAGCCUGCUCCAGUACAGGACGGUUCUCAACCAUCUUGUAAUCGUGGAACUGCUCUAUAAUAUACAUCUCGCUCCCUGCAUCGGCGGCCCCGAACUUAGAUCCGAGCGCCUCCCACAAGUCCUUGGCGACAUGCACAUGUAAAUAUGCGUCGACCAGUUUAUCUCCGAUCACGCUAAGAACUGCUCCGAGAAACACAGUGGUUGCCUCCCUGAAUGCCUUCUCCUGUUCAGUAGCAAUCGUUCCCGUGGACACACCGGUGACCUAGAACACGUUCAUAGCCGUGAGCCAUAAAGUGGUCUUUGUCUGCCAACGCUUAAAAUACGUACCGGUAAACUUAUCCGGUUUCAGUGCUGCGGCAAAGCCACUUGCCGAAAAAUUCCUACACAUAAUAGGUUUUUGGAUUGCUAAGAAAAUAGGCAAUUUUUCGACCAAUUUAAUCCAUAAGUAGAUAACUAGAAUGGCAUUGACAGAACUAACAACAUACUGGUACUGAUCUAAACGAGCACGUACUACGCAAAUAGUAGACAAAUCUACACAUGAUGCUAGCACUGCUAAUACAGAAAUUAUCAUGAGAGGGAUAAACGCGGUAUAACCUCCAGUAGGCCAUGCAGAAGCCGCCGCCUCGGUGGCAGCAACAGAAGCGGCCUCGGCGGCCUUCUUGUCGGCCUCGGUCUUCUCGGUGGCGGCGCGUUUGGCGUCGCUGGACAUGGUGAUGACGGAGACGGCGCAGACGUAGAGGAAGUAGUGGAUCGGAGGCGAGCAGUCGCGUAUUCGCUUCCCAAAAACCUAUUCGUCUCUCUCCCGUACAGGAACCAGAGAGACGGAGUUUCGGAGACCUGCUCUCCCAUCGACCGUGUACGCGGCGGACGGGAUGGAGUCACCGGCGGCAGCAGAAGGAACGACGGUCGGCGGUGCGCGUGGAGCAGAUGUGAUCUGAUCGUGGCGGCUAGGGUUAGGGGACACAACACACUUAUAUAGACGCAGCCGCGUGGAGAGACGUGGGCUUGACCCACGUCCGAGUCCGUGACAGCCCACGAUCCGACGUCUCAGAUCGUGGCCCUGCUGUCAGAACUUCUCUGUUAGUGACUGGCAAAAAUAAGCGCAUAGGUGUGAGCUCGGCUCGGCUCAUUCCCGCAACCCGCAACCCGCAACCCGCGUCGUGACGAGGCGAGGCGAGGCGAGGCGAGGCGGGCGGCGGAGGAGGAGCGCGCGAGGGCCUCUUCUCUUCUCAAGCUCCAAUAGCAUGUAGAAGAGCCACCCUUAUAAACCACUCCAACUUUCCUUCCACUAGCAUGGUGGGACUAAACUUCCCACCACCUUGUCAUGCCACCUACAUGGGCCCUUGGAGAUCAAAUCUAAAAUUGUCAUAUGGGCUCUAGGCCCAUCUCACAUUUCAACACCAAGUUCCAAGACAAAUACGCCAUCCUCACAUGAAGUGAAAUUGUUCAUUGCAUGCAUUGCUCGAAACAGGCUUUCGCCCCCCCUUUAUAAAUAAAGGCACAAACCAAACAAGGUACACGGCCGAGCGAUACACCUCUUCCAUAGCCAAGUAGAAUCAUAUCCUAUUACCCUACCUUUUUUUAUCAAGACGAGACACCUUCACGGCUCCAUUCUAGUGAAAUGUGUUAGCUUGAUCUCUCCACCAAUGGGUCCAACGGCUCAUUGGGCCCUUGACCCACGCCCUGAUCGGGGGCAUCCAGCCCACAUAAGGCUGGUGGGCCCCUAUCGCGCAGUGCAAUAAAGAGGAGGUGGGGACCAUGGGCACGGGGUACGAGGUUCAACACCGCCACUGUUACCCCACUCCUAACCCUAAUCCGAUCUAGAGGGAGGCGCUGAAGCGACGGGAAGCCCACCGACGCCACCACUCUCUGCCAUCACCGGCCACCUCACCAUGGCCGGCACCGGGAGCUCCUCCACUGCAGGAGAAGGUAGCCACUCUUUCUCCUCUCAUCUCUCUGUGAUCCUCUCCUCACAGAUGAAACAGAUGCAUAGACAAUGUAUAUACAGAUUGAUCUAUCCUGUAUUCCUAGCCUACACGAUUCAUAGAACAUAACAAUGGUAUCAGACAGAUUAGGCUAAGAUUAUAUGUACAAAAAAAAAGAACAGAGAAAGAAAAAAGAUCCUCCCCAAAGAACCCUAGCAGGGCAGAGCAAAGAAAUUAAAAAAAAGUAAACUGGAGAAGGCCUUGGGCCGCCGGCAAAGUGCGCCGCCACUCCGGCCGCGCCUCUUCCUCUUGAUCCCGUCGCGCAUCGGCAAGCCGAGGCGACAGGGACGAAGAACCUACCUCGAAAAGGGCAAAGAGCACCGUGGCCAAACUGCUCGACAGCGGCGUGCUCACCGCAAGGUGGACGCACAGCCGGCGAGGGGGAAGGCCACGGCGCCACAGACGUCCGCUCCGCCGCCCUCGGGCGCACAGGGGAGCAGAGGAGGGCUCUGCCCGCGUCUCCCUCUCUGUCGCAGGAAGUGGAAUGAGAAAGAAAAAAAAGGGAAGGGAAAGAGAAGGCGGCGCGCACUGCGCGGUGGCUACCACCAUCGGCGGCCGGGGCGGGCAGCCGAGCCGUCGCCGUUGACGUCUAGUGACGCAUCACCUCUCCCUCUCCCUAUCUCAGCAUCAGAAGAGAAGGGGUAGAGGAAAAUAGGAGUAGGCGAGGCGUCGUGCGGUGGCAGCCAUCGCUGGCGGCCAGGCUGUUGGAGUCGCUCCGACGGGAGAAGGAGCAGAGAGACGAGAGAGAGAGAUCGAGGCGAUACGAAUGGUGGCGCUAGGUUUCGAUCGGGAGGAACCCUCCCAGUUUUGUUCGACCGAAAACGGUGCUGGACCGUCGAUCUCAUCGGACGGCAGGGAUGGAAACCCUAGCCCGCCAGUGGGCCUCUGGGCCGAAAGGCUGGCAGCGACUGCAGCGCGCGGGGUGCUGGCCCCAGGGCCGCAGCCACGCCUGGGCUGAGGCUGGCUCGCACGAGCGCGCGGAGGAGCAGGCCAUGGGCCGCUGCUGGCCUCACGCGCCAGGCCGAGGCCGGCUGUGACUGCCGUCUUUUACUGGUUUUUUUGUCCAUUUUUUGGGGCACAUUUUAUACAGUUUUUUUUCUUUUCAAAAUUUUUCCAACGAAAUUUUUUGUUUAGAAAAUAGAAAGGUAAACAGAAAAAGUUUCUGAGAAUGAAAAUUUUCAGAAAAGGAAAUGUUCAUGAAUUUUAUAAAGAAAAUAAUAAAGUUCAUGAAUUUUUUAUUUUGUCAAAGAAAAGUUUCUGUAAAGAAUUAAAAGUUCAUGAAUUUUUAUUCAUGUUUUUCCGCUGCAUAAAUAAUUAAUAGUGCUCUUUUACAAACAAAGUAAAAGUUUUAUCCUCCAAUUAAAUUGGGACCAACAGGAAAAUUUAAUUGGAAGUACGGUUUUUGAGAGAAGUUUUUUCACUUGUGUGUGAAAUCAGAUUCAGAUAGCUUCUGCUAUGACAGUAGAAAGAUAUUUGAUUAAAGUUUAAUUAUGGUAUUGUUAUUUUCGGACCAACGUUGAAGAUGACAAUAUUAUAAUUCAAUGAGUCUUAUAGUUAAAAGUUCAAAUCUCUGAUAAAUUUUGUAUCAAUGACCAAUUUUCAGAGAAUUUGAUAAAGAUUGAGAAAUGUAUAUUGCUAGUUUUCCGCUGCAAUAAAGUUGAUAAUGAUGAUUAUUUUCUUAGCAAAGUUACUUAAUAGAAAUUUUAUCAUCACAUUAUUUAUGAGUUAUACGCGUUUUUUCCAUUUCUACCCAACGGUAGUGACGAAUUAAUGUAAAAAGGUGAUGUUUUAUUAUAAUUCUGCCACAACGGUGAUUUAGAAUAUAAAAGAAAGUUUCAAAAGUUUAAUGUGCAUAUUAUUUUUUUAACCAGACCAACGUAGGGUUAUUUUUUAUGCUCAUUAUUGUUGAUUAUUGGCUAAUUUUUGUCAAACUAAAAGUUUUCCAUGCCUUCAUUCGUGAAAGCGAAUGGCUAGGUACUUGUGACCCGAAAGAUGACCAAGAAAGGUCAUAACGCGAGGGAGUAUGUUCUCUCUAAAGAAUGGCCUCAAAAGAAAAGAGAUAGAACAUUGAGAGUCUUGGUUGACGAAUGUCUUUCAUGUACUCUCUAUGAAGAAGAUUUUUUAGUCAACACGAUUUGAGUUGAAACAACCAAUAUGUGUGUUUAAUUUGACCAACGUCGAGUCAAACAUGUGUGUCAAAGAGCAGUCGGAUUUAUUCCUAUAUUUGAUGAUUGAAUAUGCAGUCAAAAGAGCCAAUUCUGACAUUUAUGUCCCGUAUAGGGAAUUACCUGCAUGGCGGGAAAAGAUGAUUAUGAUAAACCCGCAUGGCAGGAAAAGACUGGGAAAAUUCCUGUGUAACCCGUAUGGCGGCAGAAACUUUCUGAGACUUAUCCUGUAUGAUAGGAAAAAAGAUGUGACGACUCAUAUGUUUUUCCAGUGAAUCCCAAUUUGGGAGAAAAGUAUGGAGUAGCCCUUAUGCUAUCCUAGUGUCGACCGUGCACUUUUAAGUGUCAUAGUCAUUAAGAAAUCAAUAAAUCCAAAGAGAAUAAAAGUUACAGACGAACCUAAAGAUAAGAAUGAUAUGCAAGCGUGACUUACAAAAGUACUAAUGAUAAAGAACUCUGUAGAGUUUAUGAAAUGGAAUAAGAUAAAAGUACUCCCAUACCAGUUAACAGAUAACUUGAUUACGUAUGAAGUAAUCAGAUAAAUGAAGUGGAUAAUCGAAGUUUCCUCAAUUCACAAGAGUUGUGAAUGGUUUUUCGAAAUUGUGGCAGAAAAGUUCUUGCCACAUUUCGAGGGGGAGAAAGAAAUAUGAGAUAUCCAUUAAUGAAUAAUGUGAUCGUCUAGGGGAGUACGACGAUCAUAAUAAUACCCCUAAAGAAAAGAAAUAGUUGUAUUCCUGGAUCUUUUACAGUUUCGAAAGGAGACUAAGGAAUACUAAGACGGUGCUUAAAGUGCCAUAAAGAAGAAGUUUUAAUAGAAUAAACUCAAAUAAUAAAGUUUAAAGAUACGACAUUUUUAGUGAAGAUGGAGUAAUCUGGGGGAGCAUGUUGUAUGACCUAUACAACACCUGUUUUUUUUCCUCUAUAAAGGAGGAAUGAGUAAACAUGGAUCUUGUGAUAAAGGUCCCUGUAGAACCUAUUGCCUCUUGGAAAUGAAAGACUAUAAAUUAAUUUGCCUCUUAGCAAUGACAGAAGAACAACAACCCCAUAUGAAAGAAGUGCCAACCUGAGACACAAACGGUCUCAAGGAAUGAGAAAAUCAGAUACUUUUGAUUACUAUAAAGUCUAUGUUAAUGGAGGUAGAUCCUACCUCAUUUAAAUCGCUCAGUUGAGUUUUGAGAAGUGUUUGUUUGUCUAAAUGAUAAGAGACUAUGUGAGAUGAAAUAAAAUUGGUGAAUCCCGACGAUGUUUUGGAUUCAUAAGUAAUUUCCAAUGGAGCCAAAACAGUAGGCUCUAAAGGGUCUACAAGGUCAAUGUGACUCCAAAGGAAAUACGUAGAAGUGUAAAACAUGACUUAAAUCGAAAGGUUUUUGCGCGUUUACACUGAAUAGAUUACAAUAAGUGUUGGUAGCACAUCAUGAUCUGAGUUAUAUCAGAUGAAAGAUAUUAUGAUCUAAGUUACAUCAGAAGAAAGAAAAGAACAUAGGGGAUACAGCCUGAAGAAGUCUUUUAUGGACUAAAGCAAUCAAAUGUUGUUUUGGGUUAAAGAAAAUGAGAGGACAGUUGUAUCCAUGCAAAGUUAUAGAAUGGGAAAUUCAAUUCAUAAUCCUGUGCAUGUGAAUGACGUCCUACUUGCUAGUGGUCAUGUCAAUCUAAUGCAGGAGAAGAAAAGAAGUUGUUGUUCUCAAAAUUCAAAAGAAUGUUCUCGGUAGAGUGUCUCUCGUUAUAAUUAUCGAGAUUCACCAAGAAAAAAAUAAAAGGGGUAUUAGUAAUGUCGCAUGGACAUGCUUAGAAAGGUCUCUAAAGUAGGCAUGCGAGAAAGCCUACACAUGUUCUUAUAGUCAAGGGUAAUGGAACUGGAAACUAUGGUGUUCCAAAAGUUGAUGAGAAAAAGAUUGAAAACAGAUAUGGUACCAUAUGCUUCAGCUGUUGAAGCUCAAUAUAUUACCAUGACACAGUUCACGUAUCUGGGUUGUUUUGGCAAUGUCCAUUCCAUAAAUAGAUCACUGGAAUGGACUCAAAUAUAUCAGCCUCAUGCUGAAAGAAAUAAGUGCUCUCAAAAGAUUGUGAGUACAAAGAUAGGAGUUGUGAAAUGUAUAGCGAAAUCCACAAUUGUCGCUAAUUUUCACACUUGGAGUUUUGGUGUGGAAAAGCUCUAAAGAAUGAAAUAAUUAACAUCAAUGUGAUGCAAAAUAUGUUGUAGCUUGAUAUGAGGCUGAGGGACAGGCAAAAUGGUUAAGUAUACCUGUACCCAGAGUUGAUAAUGGUUGACCACGGCGAUAACCAUUUUAAGUUUUUCCCUCCUAUGACAACGAGUCAAGUGUUGACGCCAAACACACUGACAUAGAGUUAUGCAUUGUAAAGGAGAAAGUCCGGAAUUAUGUAAAAUGUGUGAAGUAUAAAAGCAACAGAAAAGUGUUUGUAGAUCUGCUUAUUAAAGGCUUGCCGCCCAGUGUGUUCAGGGAACACAUAGUCGACAUGGGUUUUAUGGUAUAGUCUAAAAUUUCCGGACAAUAAAAGGGUUAAAGAAUCUGUUUCAAAAUAGAGGAGUGUGUUGUAGGUGUUGAUUCUAUCGGGAAUGAACCGUGAUGAUGAGACUGUUGGAAAUAUGCCCUAGAGGCAAUAAUAAAAGGAUUAUUAUUAUAUUUCCUUGUUUGUGAUAAUUGUCUUUUAUUCAUGCCAUAAUUGUAUCAUCCGGAAAUCGUAAUGCACGUGUGAAUACAUAGACCACAAUAUGUCCCUAGUGAGCCUCUAGUUGACUAGCUCGUUGAUCAACAGAUAGUCAUGGUUUCCUGACUAUGGACAUUGGAUGUCAUUGAUAACGAGAUCACAUCAUUAGGAGAAUGAUGUGAUGGACAAGACCCAAUCCUAAGCAUAACACAAGAUCGUGUAGUUCAUUUUGCUAGAGCUUUUCCAAUGUCAAGUAUCUUUUCCUUAGACCAUGAGAUCGUGUAACUCCCGGAUACCGUAGGAGUGCCUUGGGUAUACCAAACGUCACAACAUAACUGGGUGACUAUAAAGGUGCACGAUAGGUAUCUCCGAAAGUGUCUGUUGGGUAGACACGGAUCGAGACUGGGGUUUGUCACUCCGUAUGACGGAGAGGUAUCUCUGGGCCCACUCGGUAAUGCAUCAUCAUAAUGAGCUCAAAGUGACCAAGUGUCUGGUCACGGGAUCAUGCAUUACGAUACGAGUAAAGUGACUUGCCGGUAACGAGAUUGAACAAGGUAUUGGGAUAACGACGAUCGAAUCUCGGGCAAGUAACGUACCGAUUGACAAAGGGAAUUGUAUACGGGGUUGCUUGAAUCCUCGACAUCGUGGUUCAUCCGAUGAGAUCAUCGAGGAGCAUGUGGGAGCCAACAUGGGUAUCCAGAUCCCGCUGUUGGUUAUUGACCGGAGAGCAGUCUCGGUCAUGUCUGCGUGUCUCUCGAACCCGUAGGGUCUACACACUUAAGGUUCGGUGACGCUAGGGUUGUAAAGAUAUUAGUAUGCAGCAAACCGAAAGUUGUUCGGAAUGGUCCGGAGGUAAAGGAUUAUAUAUGGGAAGUCGAGUUUCGGCCAUCGGGAAAGUUUCGGGGUUCACCGGUAUUGUACCAGGACCACCGGAAGGGUCCCGGGGGUCCACCGGGUGGGGCCACCUAUCCCGGAGGGCCCCAUGGGCUGAAGUGGGAGGGGAACCAGCCCCUAGUGGGCUGGUGAGCCCUCCCCCUGGGCCCCCCUCUGCGCCUAGGGUUGGGAACCCUAGGGGAGGGGGCGCCUCCACUUGCCUUGGGGGGCAAGUUUCCCCCCUUGGCCCUCGCCCCCCUAGGAGAUCCCAUCUCCUAGGGUCGGCGCCCCCCCUGGGGUCCCGUACACCUGGCGCCUCCCUUCCCCCUUGCUACACCUCUUCCUCUCGUAGUCACUUGGCGAAGCCCUGCCGGAUCCCUGCUACAUCCACCACCACGCCGUCGUGCUACUGGAUCUUCAUCAACCUCUCCUUCCCCCUUGCUGGAUCAAGAAGGAGGAGACGUCACGCUGACCGUACGUGUGUUGAACGCGGAGGUGCCGUCCGUUCGGCGCUAGGAUCUCCGGUGAUUUGGAUCACGACGAGUCCGACUCCCUCAACCCCGUUCUCUUGAACACUUCCGCUCGCGAUCUACAAGGGUAUGUAGAUGCACUCCUCUCUCUCGUUGCUAGAUAAACUCAUAGAUUGAUCUUGGUGAACGUAGGAAUUUUUUUAUUUUAUGCAACGUUCUCCAACAGAGACAUGCUCUACAUGCAAAUCUGUGAUGGAACGAGUACAUUGAAAAGAGUUAUUUCAAAGUAUAAAGUUAAAAAUAUAAUGAUGAGAUCAAGGGGGAGAAUGUUAGGUUGAUCUCUCCACCAAUGGGCCCAACAGCUCAUUGGGCCCUUGACCCACGCCCUGAUCGGGGGCGUCCAGCCCACACAAGGCUGGUGGCCCCCUGUCGCGCAGUGCUAUAAAGAGGAGGUGGGGACCAUGGGCACGGGGUACAAGGUUCGUCGCCGCCACUGUUACCCCACUUCUAACCCUAAUCCGAUCUAGAGGGAGGCGCUGAAGCGACGGGAAGCCCACCGACGCCACUACUCUCUGCCAUCACCGGCCACCUCACCAUGGCCGGUACCGGGAGCUCCUCCACUUCAGGAGAAGGUAGCCACUCUUUCUCCUCUCAUCUCUCUGUGAUCCUCUCCUCACAGAUGAAACAGAUGCAUAGACAAUGUAUAUACAGAUUGAUCUAUCCCGUAUUCCUAGCCUACAUGAUUCAUAGAACACAACAAAAUGAAACCAUGAUGUCUUACAGAAAGGAAAAAAUUAGUUUUUUUCGAGCUAUGCUAGGUUUAGAGUGGAACCAAUGCCUAAACAUCCAUGUGAAAACAUCUUUUGACAAGCUAGCAUGGAAAAGGCAAUCAGGGGGGGGGGAUAAGGAACACAUGAGCACAACCCUCUCAUCAUUAGGAUGUGAAUAUCAUCAUCUUGGUGAACGAGAAGAUAUUGCACCAUGAUCACGACGACGGUCGUUGGGAGAGGGCAAGUUCCUGUCUCAAGAAGUAGGAUUUUGGGAGCGGGAUUGGGAUUAGAAUGACAGGUCUAAAAUGCAUAUAUUGGCUGCCUGGGAUGGGGACAUGGAAGGACGGUUUUGGGAGUGAAGGUCUUUGGGUGCUUCGGCUAGAGUGGGUUAAACCCCCAAAAUGACAUUUUUUGGCUCAAUCUGUUUGGAAUCGAUUAGAGUUGUCUUGAGCUCGGGGGACGCCAUCUCCUAGUCAGACUUACUCAAACCUUUGGUGAAACCAUGCAAGUAUAUGUCUAGUGUUCUUUGUUAAUGUUUUGAUCAAGCUUAAUUAGCUUAUAUUCAUGCAUGGAUGCAUCUUUAACAAAAGCGUGAAUAUGUUGACAACUUGCUAAAUGUGGCCCGAGUUUGAUCAGUGUCAUCACUCAACCCUGAGUUGGACGAUGCUAGCUCAAGCUCGUGCUUCAGUCUCCUGAUUGCAAGACACUACCGUUAAGCAUGUAAGCAAUUUGCCAUGUCUUCGGGGUCUCUUGAAAUACGGUGUACCUUCUUUGCAACAGGAAAAGUGAGAUACUUGGUGUCAAACAAAUUCGUUUGUUGACUGGUUGAUGCCAUAUACAAACGUAUCAAAUUAAUUAACUUUGUGAUAUUUUUAACUGGACAGUAUUUGAUUGCCUUGCAAAGUGAAAUCUCCCUCACAAACACUUCUGUACCCUCUGCAAUGUCACGCAUGAAGACACUGAUCAUAUGUUGGUUAGUUGUUCUAUAACCAACAUCACCUGGAACCGGAUUCUUUACUAGAUUAGCCUCCCACAUGUUGCUCAUGUCAUCGGUUCAUCUUUUAAGGAUUGGUGGUAUACUGCUAUCAUGUAGGGGACCUUGAUUGCUGACAACAAGAUGUUAAAUUCAAUAGGAAUUUUGGUCAGCUGCUGGAAGGAACACAACAAUAGGGUGUUUGAACAGGUACUGCUCAUUAGAUCGUUUGGUACAUCAAAUCCAAGAGGAGGUUUUACACUGGAGCAAGGCUGGAGCUAAAUGCUUGGACCCCUUUUUUCUCCUUGGUGUUGUCUUGUGUCAAGUUAGAACUUCCCUUGUUUCUUAGCGGCUGCAUCUACACAUCAUUUUGUUAGAAGGGGUGCUGGUUGUAGCCUUGUUCUGAACCUUGUGAUACUCUCUGGGUUUGUUUGGAUCGGUGCCAUCAUUUGCUUUACCAAAUUUUUGGUGUUGGCUAAUCCAUUGGCGUCCAUUUGUAUGGGCUCCAAUAAAUUGGCUCGCGCAAAUCCUAGCAGCCUCCCCCGCUCAUUCCACAACCAAUUUGUUGGGGAGACUUGGCGUUUAUUCUUUUCGCCAGAAUAUCGAUGUGCCGAUGGUUGGCAAGGACACCACGAGCAAGAACUAAACAGACCCUAUACUCUCUUUUCUUAUUCUAUAUAUUUCUCAUGCAAUUCUCCUAUAUGAUUCAAAAAAAUGUUGAUCGGCUCUUUGAAAAGUGAAAAACAAAAGGCCAAGCCAAAUCUCAUGACGUUUCCUUGUUCGAAUCGUCCGCGGUCAACACCUUGUACUAGUCGGCUUUUAAAAUCACCAUUUUUAACUCUUAUGACAUUCAUCAUACGAUUGAGAUGUUCUUUGAUCCUGAUUUUUCUAGAACAGUUGUAGUGCGUCCAAAUUCCAAAUUAAUUAGCCGUGUGCAUAAUUUGCUAGGUCUUGAAGCUCUCUUUCAAUGGCUCCACUGGAUAGGUACUUGAUCGGUCGGCGUUCGCCAGUUAGCAAGUCAGCAGGUGGAUUCCAAGUAUGUAUGCUAGUUGUUCUAUCAACUAUUCAUUCAACUUCUGCACACAUGCAUUACAAUGAGGUUUGGAAGGCUUGGACCCCACCGACACUCGAAAUUCUUUGCUUCGCACGCGCUUCAUGAUAGGAUCUGGACUGCUGACAGAUUGGAGAAGCGAGGAUGGGCUAACUAUGGCCUUUGCCCCUUGUGCCGACGGGUGCAGGAAUGUGGCCCUCAUCUUUUCUUCAGAUGCCACUUCACUCUCAAGCUUUGGACCAUGGCUAUUCAGAAAUUUCGCAUCCACGACAUGGACACGUCCAUAUGGCACUUGUUCGACUCCGUUCAGGCCCGGUGGGCGAGCACAUGCACCAUGGGCACCACCGACAGAAAAGCAAAGGUAUCGAUUACCAUGCUAGUGUCACGGGUCAUUUGGAAUGAGCGCAACGCAAGAGUGUUCAGGCAAAAGAGCGCACCUCUGCAAAUCUUGCUCAACACCAUUGUCAACGAGGCAAACCUUUGGAUCAAAGCUGGGGCAAAGAAACUAGGGUCUUUUUUAUUGCGAGAAUAAUUGCCAUACCGUAACUUGGGUGUGUGUUGCAACAAACUCUCUCCGCCUUAUUUAAUAUAUGAGGCAAAUCUUUUGCCUCCGUUUUAAAAAAAGAGAGUAGCAACGUGCCUGAUCGGCCUGCACAACGUUGCCACUGUUACAUCAAGGAUGAACCGAUCAUAAUCAUCAAUAUUUAAUCUGAUAUUGCAACUGUGCAAAUUUCCAACCGUGGGUACGAUCUGUGGGAGAGGAAAAGGAUACGGGCGAGAAGUAAUUGAUCAGCUAAAGUCAGCAGCUUUUCCACAUGAAAAUCUUGUUUGAACAAUUCAUACUAAAGAUAUAGGGUAAUUGAUCCAUGUGACCACCAAAUAAAAUAGACUGUGAUGUAUACAAAUAAAAGAAAACCACAUGGUUAUGUUCUAUGACCAGCUUAUGACAGUGUGCAUCAAUUGAUCCGAAGAAUCCGUGACAAAGAUCUAGGGUAAUAAAUCAUCCGAACACCAAAUAAAACGGACAGCGACGCACAAUGAAAAGAAAAAAAAACCUAGGUUAAGUACUUAAAUUUCUCCAGCCGGCGUCACUCUGGAUUGCAGAGAUGUCUAUCUCUGCAUUCUUUAGAUUACUCAACCUGCUUAAUAUAUGGGUGGUUUUCGAUCAUUCAAACACCGGGCGCAUGAUUAUGUAAAAAUUACUAGCGUUUAGCGGAAACGCUGCAUGCCGGGGAUGAGAACUCCUAAGAAUCCAGCAUCAACUCCAGUCUGGCCGCAGAUUUAAUCACAGCACGCCCUCACAUAACAUCUGUUCUAGAAUGUGGCCCGUGGAGGGUAUAGAAGUAAUGCACCUAUUGAUCUUUUCUGUUUGACGUGUGUGUUUGUAAAUUUUAAUCUGAGCUAUAUGUAAUCGUUUUCACGGCUACUUUGUUCUCUCAGUAAACACGUCUUAUUUAACUUGACACAAUGAUCCUGCGUUCACACCCUGAUCAUGCCUUCUAGCUCUGUCCUAAUCAUGCCCUGAUCAUGCCUCCAUUUCCAAAAAAGCUCUAUCCUAAUCAAGCUCACAUCACGGAGAUUAAUUCUUCCCAUUUCUCUAAGAGGACCUUUUGGUGAACUCAGAAUUUUUCAUGUUAUGCCAUAGGAGAUUCCAUCUAUCCGGUAGUUUUCAGCACAGCUGUGUCGAGAGGAAAUUUUGGCGGGUCAGAUGUAGUUGUCUCUGUCCAAAGAUGUUUGCCUGCCCCUUCCAGGCUAAUAAGAUCACCAUCACCUUAAUUUCGGCUUCACUUGUCAUCUCGAUCGGCAGGCAUGGCCGGCCAUACGACCCUGGCCCACGCAGCUACCCACUGGUACGAUUCUGUUUGGGAUGAAUUUCCUGGAAAUUGCUAAUGUUUUGGAUAAGCAUUUGUAAGAAAGGGACACGGUUGAUGGUCAUCUGCAAUUAAGCUGCUGCUGGCUGGAGAAAAGCUACUAGUCCUGCGGAAAGUUUUGGUCUGCAUGGCGGCCUGACUAAUUCUACACAUGCAUAGCCCAAGUAUGCUGGGUAACUUUUACGUCGACAAUGAAUUAAUCUGUGCUCCUUGUACGAAUAUAAGGUAAUUCAGGCCGAUCGAGCAAGCAGAUAACCAUGAGAGCGAUCGUGUAAUUAUCUCGAGAUAAAUAAAUUCUCCAUGCACGGUUGAACCAAGCUUCUUGGCUGCAUUAUAGAGCAGCAGAGUAAUACUAGUAGUGUAUUGUAAGUUCGCCUGUAAAGUAAAGCACAUGUCAUGAUCGUGGAAGUGCCAUCUCACGUUAAGACUCCGAGGUUUUAGCUAACCACCAAUGAUCACUAAUCAAGUAAUCAGUUGACUAAGAUGCAGCACUACCUAGCCUAAUUAUAAGGUUCCUAAUUCACUAAUCGGUUGUAUUUCAGAAAUUCUGAAACUGAAUUGCUAGUUCUUGGUUGAUCCUUGGGUGGAGCAAAUUAACCCGUGGAAUAAAUUUGCACUGUUGACUGCUCAGCCCACAAUGACACAUCACACGUACAUGCAUAUGCUGAUCUGAGUCUGACUGUACAUACACGCGAUGACAAGGACGAUCGACAUGGUUUUGUUUUCCUGUGAUUUAGCUGAAGGAAUUCCACGCAAGCAGUAAUCCAAUGAUGGAGCAAGUACUACUUCCUACACUAGUUGCCACUAAAUAACAAAAUGGUUAGGCACGACGAUAGUACGAGAGGCGACGCGAAAGGUGGCCGGUCCGAGUCACGCCCUAUUCACUAACGCAGCUACGUACGUGCCCGAUUUAGAGAUGUCGGUGUCCUCGAUAAAACAAUACGUGCCGGUAGUACGAUAAGAGCAUGCUAGUGAGUGGUUUCCACCGAAGAUGGAGCUUCUGGUUUGUUUUCUAAGAAUACUAGAUUGGUUUCUUUUGAGAAAGAUAAUAUGCAUGAGCUCAGCUCUUGCAGCAUGUGAUGUGUUGCAGAUGGAACAUAGCUGUGGCCCACCGUCAAAGAGGACUUCUGCGCCGCGUUCAGCAAGCUGUUCUCGAUGAAUGGCAGGGGAUUUCAGCGAAAUCACUAAUCAAGGAAUACUCUUACUCCAACUCCCCCAGGUUGCGAUAAGUGGCGCGCUGCAUGUGCGCCACUUGUCGCAACAUGUGAGUUUUCCUUUUUUUUCGUAGAUCCGUUUAUUCAAAAUGUUUUAUCUCUUAAACCGUGCGUCCAAAUCUCGAACGGCUUUCGCCAUUGUAUUCCUCGCGUCGAGAUCUUCAAAACUAGAUCUCAUGUUUAUAGGUUUUGACGAAUUUUUUUUUAACGAAAAACCCAGACGAAAAAAACCGACGAAAAAACCGAACCGGGAACACGGUUUUUUUCCCUUUCCGAAAGAGGCACGCCCGUGCCUCUGACGAAAUUACAACCGUGCUCGCGGAAACAAAAAGAUGCCUCUCACGAAAGAAAAAAAACAGAAAACGCGUUUUUUUUCUUUUCCGAAAGAGGCACGCCCGUGCCUCUCGCGAAAGCACAAAUGUGCCUAAACCGUGCCUCUCGUGAAAGAAAAAAACAGAAAACGCGUUUUUCCCUUUUCGAAAGAGGCACGCCCGUGCCUCUCGCGAAAGCACAACCGUGUCUCUGGCGGAAGCAAAACCGUGUCUCUCGCGAAAGAAAAAAAACAGAAAACGCAUUUUUUUCCAAUCCGAAAGAGGCACGCCCGUGCCACUCGUGAAAGCACAAAUGUGCCUCUCGCGGAAGCAAAACCGUGCCUCUCGCGAAAUAAAAAAAAAUAGAAAACGCGUUUUUUCCCUUUCCGAAAGAGGUACGCCCGUGCCUCUCGCGAAAGCAAAACCGUGCCUCUCGCGAAAGAAAAAAAACAGAAAACACAUUUUUUUCGUUUCCAAGAGGCACGGCCGUGCCUCUCGCGAAAGCACAACCAUGCCUCUCGCAAAAACAAAAUCGUGACUCUUGCGAAAAAAUGCAUUUUUUUGGGUGGAAAAGCUAGGGAAGACCGGUAAAAAACCAAAAUGUUAAAAUAACCCAAAAAAACCUUUUAAAAAGCCGAAAACACGUGCGUAAAAAAAAUUAAAAAAAAAAUCCGAUGGGAGCGUCCAGAGCGCGACACGUGGCGAAUGGCUGUGAGCGCGCGGCGCUGAUCGUUGCGAGGCUCCCGAAGGAGCCCUCGUUAAUUAGUUGCUCCCGGAUUUCAGCGACUUAACAGCCCGAUUCAUCGAGAAGCUGUAACACCCCGAGAUUCAUGCCACAGUAAUCUCCCACUUCUCAUGCCAUGUCAUCAUGAUUACCUUGCUAGUUGCCACUUGUUCAAAACAUCAAGUCCAAAAUUCAAAAAUUUCUCAAACAUGAAUACAAAAAUGUUCAUCAUGUGCCAAAUAUUCCACAACUAAUAUUGGUGGUGAACCAACAUUUUUGCAAAGGGUUUAAGUGGCCUAAACUACUUAAAGCAGUGGCUAAAACAAUAGUUUAAAUGCCUUUUUACUCUAUAAAAAUUUCAAACUAUUUCAAAAGCCUCACAGCCUUUUGUGGCAGUGCUAACUAUUUCAAUGUAAUUAUGUGGCCAAGUCCCACAUUUUACAAAAUCCAUUUGGCAGCCCAAAUAUUACCAUGCUUUUUCUGUAAAAAGAAAAGAGCAGAGGUAAAAGAAAAAGAAACCCCCCCGACCCCCUGGGCCUUUGUCAUCUGGGCGGCCCAACCCAGCAGCCCACCUCCCCCGGUCGCCUCCCUCCUCUCUGUUCACCCGACCCAGCGGCCGCGCUCGCUGGUCGCCAUCGAACCCUGUCGCCGUCCCCGUCGGGGAAGGGAUAAGGGCGACAUCCCCUCGAUGCCUCGAGCCCUCCCGUCCACUCACCGCACCCCACUCGCGCCAGUCCUUUCCCCUCGCCCGCUUCGUCUCUCCCUCGCACCCCAGAUCCCCUCCCCAUCGCAUCCGAACGCCACGGCCGCCAUGGCCGCCGUCGCCCUUGUGGCCACCGGCCACCACGCGCGUAUUCGCCAUGACGUAGCUCCUCGCCAUCAUCCGCUACGCCCCCUGGUGCCAUCCGCAAGAGCUCGGAGGCGCUAGAACGCCGUCACGCCGCCUUCUUCAACCUCCGUCCGCCUCGGGCCGCCGCACACCGAUGCCGUCUCCGGCCACCUCGACUCUUCCUCGGGCCUUCCCAGCAAUGGAAGUGAGCGCCGGACCUCCGCCUCCCUCUCCCUCUCUCCCCGUGCUCUUUCCCGCGCCGUAGCUAGCUGUCGCCGCCUCCGUGCCCUACUCGCCGCCGACGAGAUCGUGGCCAUCUUUGUGGUCGACGCCGCCGCCACCUGAGGCCACCGUUGAACUCCUGGAGCUCCCAGGAGCCCAACGAGCCUGAGCACGUGCCUCCCCGUGCCCCCUAGCCGCUAGCCCGACCACCCUCAUCUCCGGCCGCCGCCUUGCCUCACCACCGACGGCACUCCGGCCACUCCCCGCCCGGGCCACCACCACAGAACGAUGCGGCUUCGUCNNNNNNNNNNNNNNNNNNNNNNNNNNNNNNNNNNNNNNNNNNNNNNNNNNNNNNNNNNNNNNNNNNNNNNNNNNNNNNNNNNNNNNNNNNNNNNNNNNNNNNNNNNNNNNNNNNNNNNNNNNNNNNNNNNNNNNNNNNNNNNNNNNNNNNNNNNNNNNNNNNNNNNNNNNNNNNNNNNNNNNNNNNNNNNNNNNNNNNNNNNNNNNNNNNNNNNNNNNNNNNNNNNNNNNNNNNNNNNNNNNNNNNNNNNNNNNNNNNNNNNNNNNNNNNNNNNNNNNNNNNNNNNNNNNNNNNNNNNNNNNNNNNNNNNNNNNNNNNNCCCCGCUGGCCGUGCUUCCGCUGUGGUUUUUGCCACCGGCGGCUAGACGCCGGCGCUCGCGCUGAUGUGGCCGACCGGGGCCACCCCCCAGGGUCACUACCUGGUGGUCCCAGGGGCCCGGGCUGGCCAGUUGACCGAGGUCAACUGUGCUGACUGGGCAGGCCCCAGCCACUGACACGCGGGCCCCGCCGCUUUUUCUAACUAAAUUGUUUUAAUAAUUAAAACUAAUUAGUUUAGCCAAUUAGUCUAUGACAGGUGGGGUCCAGUAGCUAAUUAACCUAGAUUAGUUAGUUUAUUACACUGUUAGACUAACAGAGGCUGAGAUGUGGGUCCCGCUGGACCCACAGGCCAGGUUUGACCUGGUCAGCCGCCCUGCUGACUGUUGACUUCUCUAUGACGUCAUGAUGACGUCAUAUUCCUUUUCUAUUUUUUAAAAUAAUUCCAGAAUAUUGUUUAAACUUUAAAAAUUCAUAGAAAUUAAACCGUUCCUCGGAUGAAAAUAUUUUCUAUAUGAAAGUUGCUCAGAAAAAUCCAACGAAUCUGAAAAUGCGGUCCGUUCAGCUGUCACAUGCCUCUAGCAUGCUGAACAUGGAACAUUUCCCCUCCGGUCAUUUGUGUGACACGGGUCCGGAACCGGGAAUACAUUCCCGGUUGAAUUCCCCCUUCACCUAUAUCGUGUAGCCAUGCGUUAGGUCACACCCAGCACAACAUAUUGCCAUGUUACGCUUUGUAAUGCUAUGUCUGCUUUAUAUUUACUGUUUCUUCCCCCUCUUCUCUCCGGUAGACCCCGAGACCGAUGCCACCCCUGUGAUCGACUACGUCGACGACGACCCCUCCUUGCCAGAACAACCAGGCAAGCCCCCCCUUUGAUCAUCCCGAUAUCGCCCAUUCCAUUCUCUCAUGCUUGCAUUAGAUUUUGCUACUGUUAUUGUUUGCACCUAUUCUGAUGCAUAGCCUGCUUUUGUACCUACUGUUGUACCUUACCCGCUUAUCCUAAACUGCUUAGUAUAGGUUGGUUAGAGACCCAUCAGUGACCCCCCCACUUGACUCGACUGCCCCGCUAGAUUAUCAGAAGACCCGAUCAACGGGAACGAAGACCAGGACCCGACACCUCACGUCACAUCACGCCCCUUCGUUGCUCGACUCUGAAGUGUUACUAUUGAGAGCCGAGGGUGAGACCUCUACAGCGCUUCUGAUGUUAACCUGUAGUGUAGCUAUUCGGUCGUGGUCAUCGAGGGUGAUUUCCUCCUUAACCACUUCCGAUACGGCUCUGUCGUGCAACCCAUCAAGUGUGAACCUCGAGGGUGGAUCCUCUUACGUUCACCUUGAUGAUUACAUCGAGUGGAAUUCACCGGGGGUGAUUCCUUGGGUUUUCCCCUUAAUGUUUGGACACACGGAUACUUGGACUUUACCACUAUUACUUGGAAAGACGGGUCGACCUUGAGGGGUACCCGCGCGAGCUUAAUUGCGAGUGAUGUGGAGUCGGGUUGACCUGGAGGGUGCCCGCGAGAUAAUUACGAGGCGUGGCCGGGCAUUCCUAGCCCUUGCUGCAAGUCCUCGAGACGGGGAAACGGGGUCACAUCUUUCGUGAGUCUCUGCUUGUUACCGUGCGUUCCUAAUCCACUACGAUUUGGAUAUUUGAUCCGAGGGGCCUCUGGCCUGAUAGCACUAACCAUCACGUGGGCAUAGUAUGGGCGUUCUGCGUCGUAUACAUCAGCCGAAGCUUAGUAGACGUCAGCGACUGAGCGGCGCGCGCUGGGUUGGACUGCGUAAGCGCCUGCCUUGUUGAAGGAGGUAGCUAGGUCUGCUCACCGGCCGCCCUCGCAACGUGCAGGAGUUCCCGGGGAGAUGGCCCAUGACCCCUGGGGGCAUAGGUUUAGUCCGGCGUGCUGGCCUCUCUAUUAAGCCUAGGUCGGGUUGCGGCGUAUUGUUUCGCCGAGGCCGGGCAUGACCCUGGAAAGUGUGUCCGGCCGGAGUUAAGCGAGCGUGGUGGGUAAGUUGGUGCACCCCUGCAGGGAAGAAAACAUCUAUCGAUAGCCUGUCCUACGGUAACAGACACUUGGAGUUGUAUCCCGAUCGAUACAACUAGAACUGGAUACUUGAAAUGAGACAUGGAUAUGAGAAAUGGAUUGCGAUGAGAAUUGGAUUGUGAUGAUAACUGGAUAGUAUGGCUCUGGGAUUUCUUUCUCGCAGGGAGUCGAGAAAGGAUCUCCGGCCGAGGUUGAUAACACUACUUCUACCUUACUUUGUGCUACUCUAUUUCCUCCUAUUUGCUGCAAGAUGGUGGUUUCCAGAAGAUGCUAGUCUUCGAUAGGACCAGGCCUUCUCUCUAUUCUGGCAUUUCUGCAGCCCAGUUCACAUAUACAGCCUUCCUUUGAUAAUGUUGCAUAUGUAGUGUAGAUCCUUGCUUGCGAGUACUUUGGAUGAGUACUCACGGUUGCUUUGCUCCCUCUUUUUCCCUCUUUCCAUUCUUCUCGGAUGCUGCAACCAGAUGGUGGAGCCCAGGAGCCAGAUGCCACCGUCGAUGCCUACUACUACGUGAAGACCGCUGACGAUCAGGAGUAGUUAGGAGGCUCCCAGGCAGGAGGCCUUGCCUUUUCGAUCGUUGCUACUUUUGUGCUAGCCUUCUUAAGGCAAACUUGUCUAACUUAUGUCUGUACUCAGAUAUUGUUGCUUCCGCUGACUCUGGUGUAUUCGAGCUUAUGUAUUCAAGCCCUCGAGGCCCCUGGCUUGUAAUAUAAAGCUUGUAUUAUUUUAAUUUGUGUCUAGAGUUGUGUUGUGAUAUCUUCCCGUGAGUCCUUGAUCUUGAUCAUACACAUUUGCGUGUAUGAUUAGUGUACGAUUGAAUCGAGGGCGUCACAAGUUGGUAUCAGAGCCAACUGCCUGUACGUAUCCCCCUUUCUAACUCCUUGGCCGAAGUUGAGUCUAGUCACUACAAAACUUUUACUGACAUGGCUGUGUGUCUUAUGGGCCCACGUCGCCAUUGGGUGGUAUUAGGAUCUUUUACUUCUCGAUCUUUAUUCUGGGACUCUGAUCUCUCUUCUAUUCGGGUUAAAUGUUUUUGCAAACUCUAACAUUAGGUUCUCGUAAACACAUCCCCCCGGAGAGCCGCUCAUUCCAUAUGAUUGCCUGCGUCACUUGAAGAUUAUGAAGAUACUUGUCGAUGUUUUCUGAGACCCUUGUGCCCAUCGCUUUUGCAAUUCCUUUCCAUCAAUAAACCCCUAUGGGUGACCACGUACACGUGUCAUUCAUAUAAUCAUUUCCCCGUUGGUCUUGUUAUUACAAGAUACCACGAAAAUCCUCUCUAUUGUUCCGAGAAUAUUUUGUGCUUACUGACUUACAGUACUUUGCCACAUGAAUACCCCUACGGAUAAUUCCUCGCACUUACCGAGUAUCUGCCAUCCCCAGUUGCUCAUGUGUUUCACAAAAGUCUUCAAAUACUAUUCAAUCUUCAAAAAAAAUCCUCUGCAGCCUAUUACUCUUGAUUCUCCUUGCCUGCUUGCAAUAUUCUUUAAAUUUUUUGUGAUUGUCAUUCUAUUCCUAUGGAUUUAACGUGUGAGCGAAUACUCGCAAUCAUCAAUUAACCCUUGGAAAUUUUCAUUCCGGCUCCGACAUCACUCUGGAUAUGGGAUGGUUCUUGCCCAAUCUAGAUUUGAUCGGGUGCACCUCUAAGUCUAUUCAACUUACUCAUUUGCGUGUAUGAUUAGUGUACGAUUGAAUCGAGGGCGUCACAGAAGCCCUUAUUACCCUCCUUCCCAAGAAGCCCGAUUCCUCCUUCCUACUCGAUUAUAGGCCCAUAAGCCUGAUCCACCUCUUGGCCAAACUUUUCGCCAAGGUGCUGUCUCUCCGGCUUGCCCCUCGGAUGGCCGAGCUCGUGUCUACCAACCAGAGCGCCUUCAUCGCCGGCCGUUGCGCGGACGACAACUUUCUGCUGGUGCGUGAGACUGCUCGUCUUCUACACAAUCUCAAGGCUCCAAGAGUCCUGCUCAAGCUCGACAUCGCGCGCGCCUUCGACUCGGUGUCCUGGCCGUUCCUCACCGAGACGAUGCGUCACUUGGGUUUUGGCGACUGCUGGUGCGAAUGGGUGUCCAUCCUACUCUCCAUAGCCUCUACGCGUGUCCUUGUCAACGGCAGGCCAGGCCCUCCGAUCCUCCAUGCGUGCGGGCUCCGCCAGGGGGAUCCCCUUUCACCGAUGUUGUUUGCCAUCGUCAUCGACACCCUUAACUUCCUGCUCCAGCGAGCUGUCAACCAUGGGAUCCGGCGCCGCCUCACUUAUUGGCAUGCCGCUUCCAGCAUAUCCCUCUUCGCCGACGAUGUGGUAAUCUUCUGCCACCCAGAGCACGCGGAAAUUCAAAAUGUCUGCAAGCUGCUGGAUCUAUUCGGCAUGGCCUCGGGGCUCCGCACCAACUAUCGGAAGUGCUCCGCCACGCCGAUCCAAUGCACGCCGGAAGUGGCCGCCGAGGUGGGCGAGAUGCUCCAAUGCUCUGUUUCCUCCUUCCCUAUCCAAUACCUUGGCUUCCCACUCUCCGUCUGCAAGGUGCCCACGAGCGCGCUCAUGCCUUUGGUUGAUCAAAUGGUACGAAAGUUGGCGACCUGGAAAGCCACCUCGCUCUCCUGCUGCGAGCGAUUGGCGCUGGUCCGACACGUGUUGAGCGCCAUGCCUGUCCACAUCCUGAUCGUGAUGGUGCUCAACCCGACCAUCCUGAAGCCGGUGACGCAGAUCACCCACGACUUCCUCUGGCAGGGCUCCAAGGACGCCAAAGCCGAGCACUGCCUCAUGAGGUGGCCUCGGCGUGCGCGACAUUCAUCGGUCCGGCAUUGCACUUCGGGUCCGUUGGCUCUGGCUGCAAGCCACUGACCCCACGCGUCCCUGGUGUCACCUCAGGCCGCACAGCGAGCCCGAGACUCUGGCUAUCUUCCGGGCCUCGACAGUCUGGACCCUUGGGAACGGAGCGCAGUGCCGUUUUUGGGCUGAUCCGUGGCUGGACGGCCAAUCCGUCCUGGACUUGACGCCCGCGCUCUUAAGCCUCGUCCCGCGCAGGUGACAGCGCACUAGGCUAGUGUGCGAGGCCCUCCAUGGCCGUGCCUGGAUCAUCGACAUUCACGACACCCUCGGCACUACUGCCCUGGUGGAAUACGUCGACCUUUGGAGGCGCCUACAACGUGUCAACCUGUCCAGCGAGCCUGAAUCGAUCUCAUGGCGUUGUUCGGCCAACGGAUCCUAUUCCGCGCAGUCCUGUUAUCAGGCUCUAUUCGUUGGCUCCACCAUAUCAAGUGCUUCCUCUGGCUCGCCUCCCUCGAUCACUGCUGGAUGGAUGAGCGUCAUGCCCCGCAUGGCCUCCCCGGCGAUCCGUUGUGUGAUGACCCACAAGUGUAGGGCAUCUAUCAUAGUCCUUUCAAUAAGUAAGAGUGUUGAACCCAACGAGGAGCAGAAGGAAAUGACAAGCGGUUUUCAGUAAGGUAUACUUUGCAAGCACUAAAAUUAUCGGUAACAAAUAGUUUUCUGAUAAGGUAAUUUGUAACAAGUAAAAAGCAAUGAAAGUAAAUAAGGUGCAGCAAGGUGGCCCAAUCCUUUUCGUAGCAAAGGAAAAGCCUGGACACGUUCUUAUAUAGAGAAAAGCGCUCCCGAGGACACAUGGGAAUUAUCGUCAAGCUAGUUUUCAUCACGCUCAUAUGAUUCGCGUUCGUUACUUUGAUAAUUUGAUAUGUGAGUGGACCGGUUCUUGGGUACUGUGCUUUCUUGGACAAGCAUCCCAAUUAUGAUUAACCCCUAUUGCAAGCAUCCGCAACUACAAAAGAAGUAUUAAGGUAAACCUAACCAUAGCAUGAAACAUAUGGAUCCAAAUCAGCCCCUUACGAAGCAACUCAUAAACUAGGGUUUAAGCUUCUGUCACUCUAGCAACCCAUCAUCUACUUAUUACUUCCCAAUGCCUUCCUCUAGGCCCAAAUAAUGGUGAAGUGUCAUGUAGUCGACGUUCACAUAACACCACUAGAGGAGUGACAACAUACAUCUCAUCAAAAUAUUGAACGGAUACCAAAUUCACAUGACUACUAAUAGCAACACUUCACCCAUGUCCUCCGGAACAAACGUAAUUACCCACAAGGCAUAUUCAUGUUCAUGAUCAGAGGGGUAUUAAUAUGCAUUAAGGAUCUUAACAAAUGAUCUUCCACCGAAUAAACCAACUAGCAUCAACUACAAGGAGUAAUCAACACUACUAGUAACCCACAUGUACCAAUCUGAGGUUUUGGUACAAAGAUUGGAUACAAGAGAUGAACUAGGGUUUGAGAGGAGAUGGUGCUGGUGAAGAUUUUGAUGGAGAUUGACCCCCUCGCAAUGAGAGGAUCGAUGAUGAUGACGAUGGUGAUGAUUUCCCCCUCCCGGAGGGAAGUUUCCCCGACAUAACAGCUCCGCCAGAGCCCUAGAUUGGUUCUGCCAAGGUUUCGCCUCAUGGCGGUGGACUUUCAUCGCGAAAGCUUGCUUAUGAUUUUUUUCAGGGUAAAAGACCUCAUAUAGCAGAAGAUGGGCACCGGAGAGCUGCCAGGUGGCCCACGAGGCAGGGGGCACGGCCAGGGGUGUAGGGUGCGCCCCCCACCCUCGCUCAGUAUUUUUUUAUUAAAUCCAAAAAUGACUUCCGUGGAGUUUCAGGACUUUUGGAGUUAUGCAGAAUAGGUCUCUAAUAUUUGCUCCUUUUCCAGCCCAGAAUUCCAGUUGCCGGCAUUCUCUCUCUUCAUGUAAACCUUGUAAAAUAAGAGAGAAUAGCCAUAAGUAUUGUGACAUAACGUGUAAUAACAGCCCAUAAUGCAAUAAAUAUCGAUUUAAAAGCAUGAUGCAAAAUGGACAUAUCAACUCCCCCAAGCUUAGACCUCGCUUGUCCUCAAGCAGAAGCCGAUAACGAAACAUGUUUAGAGAUAGAGGUGUCGAUAAAAUAAAAUACGGACAUGAGGAUAUCAUGAUCGUUCUUAUAACAGCAACAUAUAUAAAUUUUGUCAUAUGAUUUCUUAUGCUAAAGUAACAAUCUAUUCACAAUAUCUAGUAUGAAUAAGAAACUUCAUUGAGAACCAACAAACUAUGAUCUCGGUCAUUGAAGCAAUUGCAAUUUAUCAUAACAUCGGAAAGAGUCAAUAUAAGAGCUUUUCAGCAAGUCCACAUACUCAACCAUCAUUUAGUCUUUCAUAAUUGCUAACACUCACGCAAUAUUUAUGGUUAUGGAGUUUUAGUCGGACACAGAGAAAGAUAGGGACUUAUAGUGUUGCCUCCCAACCUUUUACCUCAAGGGUAAUGUCAACAAUAAUAGUUCAUGCUAACUUACAUCCAAUUGGAUAUAUAUAUAUAUAUAUAUAUAUAUAUAUAUAUAUAUAUAUAUAUAUAUAUAUAUAUAUCAGGAUCUUUCCAACAUGAGGUGCUUGCCAAAGGAUAAAAUGUAAAAAGGAAAGGUGAAGCUCACCAUGACUCUUAAUGUAAGACAAGAAGUAAAAGAUAGGCCCUUCGUAGAGGGAAGCAGAGGUUGUCAUGUGCUUUUUGGUUGGAUGCACGAAAUCUUAAUGCAAAAGAACGUCACUUUAUAUUGCCACUUGUGAUACAGACCUUUAUUAUGCAGUCCGUCGCUUUUAUUGCUUCCAUAUCACAAGAUUGUAUAAAGCUUAUUUUCUCCACACUAAUAAGUCAUACAUAUUUAGAGAGCAAUUUUUAUUGCAUGCAACAUGACAACUUACUUGAAGGAUCUUACUCAAUCCAUAGGUAGAUAUGGUGGACUCUCAUGGCAAAACUGGGUUUAAGGAUAUUUGGAAGCACAAGUAGUAUUUCUACUUGGUGUAAGGAAUUUGGCUAGCAUGAGGGGGAAAGACAAGCUCGACAUGUUGGAUGACCCAUGAAAAUAUACUUUAAUUCAUAUAUGAGAAAACAUAACCCAUUACGUUGUCUUCCUUGUCCAACAUCAAAUCUUUAGCAUGUCAUACUUUAAUGAGUGCUCACAAUCAUAAAAGAUGUCCAAGAUAGUAUAUUUAUAUGUGAGAACCUCUCUUUCUUUAUUACUUCCUAUUAAUUGCAACGAUGACCAAAAUUAUGUUUGCCAACCCUCAACAACUUUUAAGCAUCAUAUUCUUUAUAUGUGAAGUCAUUACUCUCCAUAAGAUUAAUAUAAUCUCUUUUAUUUCUUUCUUCUAUUUUUAUUCCCUCAAGAUCAUAGCAAGAUAACAAAGCCCUUGACUCAACACUGAUCUUUAUUAUAUAUAGCUCAUGGACUUGAUUACAUAGAGGGAUCAUAAAGCAAAACUCAAAACUAAAUCAUACCAAAGCUUUAUUCUAUUAGAUCAAGGUAUUAUUAAAAGGAACGAACUAAGUAAAACAGUAAAGAUAGGAGUGUUGCUGGUGAUACGAUACCGGGGCAGCUCCCCCAAGCUUGGAAGGUUCCAAGGGGAGUGCCCAUACCCAUGUGGCGAUGAUGCCCCUUAAGAUAUGAUUCUCCUCCUCGAGCUUAUUGACUUGAUGCUUGAGAUCCAUUGUUUCCUUACGGAGCUUAUCCGUGACGGCUAGAGCUCCUUUCACCCAUGGAUGUUGCAUAGCUGCUGGAGAACAAGUGACACUCUUUUUCAUAGUUUCAUAAGAAAGAAAUCUAACAUUGGAAGGGAUCUAGCUGAGCUCUGUAGUUCCCCCAUCGUGAAUCCGGCUCGGAAAUGAGAGGUAACUUCUUGACCUUCCUCCAUUGCAUUUAUCCUUUUCAAGUCGGCCUCCAUCUCCUCCUCCGUUGAUGGCCCAAAGUGAUAGGCAUCGCUGUUUUCUCCUGGACCUGGUGUCGACUGACACACCUGACUCUCCCCGACUGACUCUUGAAAAGACAUCUUGCUCUAAACCUGUUGCAGAAACAGCUCGAAACAAAGACAUAGGAUAUUUGCGUGAUACGGACCUUCGGGAGAUUAUAUAAUGAAUUUUUACCGACGAAAAGAAGUAUCGUGCAAGAAAACAGAGUUCGGAGAGCACACGAGGUGCCCACGAGGUAGGGGGCGCGCCCAGGGGGUAGGGCGCGCCCUCCACCCUCGUGGACGCCUCGUGUCCUUCCCGGACUACUUACUAUUUUCCUAUUUUCUUAAAUAUUCCAAAAUGGAGAAAAAAAAUGCUAUUAGAACUGUUUUAGAGUCGGUUUACUUAUCGUACCACAUACCUAUUCCUUUUCGGAGUCUGAAACGUUCUGGAAAGUGUCCCUUGUGUAUUCCUCCGGGGUUAUGGUUUCAAUAACAUUAGUUUCAACAUUUAUAGGACUACCUGAGAUAUAAUGUUUGAUUCUUUGACCGUUCACCACCUUCGGAUUUGUGCCUGCGAAGUUGUUGAUUUUUAUGGCACGGGAACGAUAUACCUCCUCGAUAACGUAGGGACCUUCCCAUUUAGAGAGAAGUUUUUCCUGCAAAAAAUCUUAAACGAGAGUUAAAUAGCAACACAUAAUCACCUACAUUAAACUCACGCUUUUGUAUCCUUUUGUCAUGACACCUUUUAACUUUUUCUUUAAACAGUUUGGCAUUCUCGUAGGACUGGGUUCUCCAUUCAUCAAGUGAGCUAAUGUCAAAUAGCCUCUUCUCACAGGCAAGUGUAAAUCAUAACUGAGCUCUUUAAUGGCCCAAUAUGCCUUAUGUUCUAGUUCGAGAGGUAAAUGACAUGCUUUUCCAUAAACCAUUUUAUACGGAGACAUACCCAUAGGAUUCUUAUAUGCAGUUCUAUAAGCCCACAAUGCAUCAUCAAGUUUCUUGGACCAAUUCUUUCUAGAUCUAUUAAUAGUCUUUUGCAAAAUUAAUUUGAGCUCUCUAUUACUCAAUUCUACUUGACCACUAGACUGUGGAUGAUAUGGAGAUGCAAUUCUAUGAUUAACAUCAUACUUAGCAUGCAUUUCACGAAAAGCACCAUGAAUAAAAUGUGAACAACCAUCAGUCAUUAAGUAUCUAGGGACUCCAAACCUUAGAAAAUUAACUUCUUUAAGCAUCUUAAUAGAAGUGUUAUGAUCAACACUACUAGUUGGAAUAGCUUCUACCGACUUGGUAAUGUAGUCAACAACAACUAAAAUAUGUGUAUAGCCAUUAGAGGAAGGAAACGGUCCCAUAUAAUCAAAGCCCCAAACAUCAAAUGGUUCAAUAACAAGAGAAUAGUUCAUAGGCAUUUCUUGACGUCUACUAAUAUUACCAAUUCUUUGACAUUCAUCACAAGACAAGACAAACUUACGGGAAUCCUUGAAGAGAGUAGGCCAAUAAAAACCGGAUUGCAGUACCUUAUGUGCAGUUCUAUCUCCAGCGUGGUGUCCUCCAUAUGCCUCAGAGUGAAACUUGCAUAGGAUCUGUUCUUGUUCAUGCUCAGGUACACAACAUGUAAUAACACCAUCUACUCCUUCUUUAUAAAGGUGUGGGUCAUCCCAGAAGUAAUGUCUUAAAUCAUAGAAAAACUUUUUCUUUUGCUGGGAUGUGAAACUAGGUGGUAUGAAUUUAGCAACAAUGUAAUUAGCAUAAUCAGCAUACCAUGGAGCAGUACGAGAAGCAUUUAUGACAGCUAAUUGUUCAUCGGGAAAGCUAUCAUCAACAGGUAGUGGGUCAUCAAGAACAUUCUCUAACCUAGACAAGUUGUCUGCAACGGGGUUCUCAGCUCCCUUUCUAUCAAUAAUAUGCAAAUCAAAUUCUUGUAGCAAGAGAACCCAUCUAAUAAGUCUAGGUUUAGCAUCUUUAUUUUCCAUAAGAUAUUUAAUAGAAGCAUGAUCAGUUUGAAUAGUUACUUUAGAAUCAACUAUAUAAGGUCUAAACUUAUCACAAGAAAAUACAACUACUAAAAAUUCUUUUUCAGUAGUAGCAUAAUUUCUCUGGGAACUGUCUAGAGUCUUACUAGCAUACUGAAUAACAUUUAGCUUCUUAUCAACUCUUUGUCCUAGAACAACACCUACAACAUAAUCACUAGCAUCACACAUAAUUUCGAAGGGUAAAUUCCAAUCAGGUGGCUGAACAAUAGGUGCAGAAAUCAAAGCUUUCUUAAGUAUUUCAAAUGCUUCUGCACAAUCAUCAUCGAAGACAACAGGAAUAUCUUUUUGUAAGAGAUUAAUCAGAGGCCUAGAAAUUUUAGAGAAGUCCUUAAUGAACCUCCUAUAAAAACUGGCAUGACCAAGGAAACUUCUUAUACCUUUAAUGUCCUUGGGACACGGCAUCUUUUCAAUAGCAUCAACUUUAGCUUUAUCCACUUCAAUACCUCUUUCAGAAAUUUUAUGCCCCAAGACAAUACCUUCGUUAACCAUAAAGUGGCACUUCUCCCAAUUCAAGACGAGACUAGUAUCUUCACAUCUCUGCAAAACUCGAUUAAGGUUGCUCAAGCAAUCAUCAAGAGAAGACCCAUAAACGGAGAAAUCAUCCAUGAAAACCUCACAAACCUUUUCACAAAAGUCAGAGAAUAUAGCCAUCAUGCAUCUUUGAAAGGUAGCAGGUGCAUUACAUAAACCAAAAGGCAUACAUCUAUAAGCAAAAGUACCGAAAGGGCAAGUAAAAGUGGUCUUUUCUUGAUCCUCUGCUGACAUAGGUAUUUGAGAGAAACCAGAGUAACCAUCUAGAAAGCAAAAAAUGUGUAUGUUUAGAUAAUCUUUCUAGCAUUUGAUCAAUAAAAGGUAGAGGGUAAUGAUCCUUUUUCGUAGCUUUAUUUAACUUACAGAAAUCAAUUACCAUCCUAUAACCUGUAAUAAUUCUUUGCGGGAUCAAUUCAUCUUUAUCAUUAGGAACAACAGUAAUACAUCCCUUCUCAGGACACAAUGGACAUGACUUACCCACUGACUAUCAGCAACGGGAUAAAUUAUACCUGCCUCUAGGAGCUUUAGUAUUUCCUUUCUUACCACUUCUUUCAUCUUAGGAUUUAACCGUCGUUGGUGAUCAAUAACUGGUUUGGCGCCUUUCUCCAAAUUUAUGUUGUGGUGACUAAUGCCCUUAAGAUCAUCAAGAGUAUAUCCAAUAGUAGCAUGGUACUUCUUUAGAGUUUUCAAUAAUCUUUCCUCUUCCUGCUCUGAAAGGUUAGCACUAAUAAUAACAGGAUAUAUCUUAUUUUCAUCAAGAUAAGCAUAUUUAAGGGUAUCAGGUAAUGGUUUAAGCUCAAACACGGGAUCACCCUUGGGUGGAGGAGGAUCCCCUAGAAUUUCAACAGGCAAGUUGUGUUUCAAAAUAGGUCCCUGUAUAUAGAAUACUUCAUCUAUCUCCCUUCUUUCAUUCAUAAACAUAUCAUUUUCAUGGUCUAGCAAAUAUUGUUCUAAAGGAUCAUUAGGAGGAACGGCAAUAGAAGCAAGACCAAUAAUUCCAUCCUUAUUAGGCUAUUCUUUAUCAUGGGGUUGUCUACGAAAUUUAGCAAAAUUAAACUCAUGAGACAUAUCCCUAAGCCAAUUGUAACAACAUCCUUUUUGCAAUCUAUCCUAGCAUUAACAGUAUUCAAGAAGGGUCUACCAAAUAUAAUGGAACAAAAGUCAUCUUGUGGGGAACCAAGAACAAGAAAAUCAGCAGGAUAUUUAACUUUCCCACACAAGACUUCAACAUCUCUAACAAUCCCAAUUGGUGAAAUAGUAUCUCUAUUGGCAAGCUUAAUUGUAACAUCUAUUUCUUCUAUCUCAGCAGGUGCAAUAUCAUGCAUAAUUUCUUUGUAUAAGGAAUGAGGUAUUGCACUAGCACUAGCACCCAUAUCACAUAAGCCAUGAUAACAAUGAUCUCAUAUUUUAACAGAAAUAACAGGCAUGCCUACAACAGGUCUAUGUUUCUUAGCAUCGGGUCUAGCAAUUCUAGCAGCUGCAUCAUAGAAAUAAAUAACAUGCCUAUCAAUAUUAUCAGCCAAGAGAUCUUUAACCAUAGCAAUACUAGGUUCAUCUUUAAUUUUCUCAGGAGGUGUAUAUGUUCUAGUAUUACUCUUACGAACCAUAGUUGAAGCUUUAGCAUGAUCCUUUAUCCUAACAGGGAAAGGUGGUUUCUCAAUAUAAGUAGCAGGAACAAUAGGAUCAUUAUAAGUGAUAGUCUUUUCUUGAACUUUAAUAGGUGCAACUACUUUUACUCUAUUGGGAGGAUUAUAUUUAAACCACUUCUCCUUAGGGAGGUCAACAUGAGUAGCAAAUGAUUCACAGAAAGAAGCUACUAUCUCAGAGUCAAGUCCAUAUUUAGUGCUAAAUCCACGAAAAGCAUCGGUAUCCAUAAAAGAUUUAACACAAUCAAACUUAGGUGUCAUAACUGACUCCUUACCUUCAUCGAGCUCCCAAUCUUCAGAGUUGCGUUUAAUUCUUUCCAAUAAAUCCCAUUUUAAUUCAAUAGUCUUCAUCAUAAAAGAACCAGCACAAGAAGUAUCGAGCAUGGAGCGAUUGUUGAGAAAAAGCCGAGCAUAAAUUUUUUGAAUAAUCAUUUCUCUUGAGAGCUCAUGAUUGGGGCAUGAAUAUAACAUUAACUUAAGCCUCCCCCAAGCUUGAGCGAUGCUUUCUCCUUCGCGAGGCCAAAAAUUAUAUAUAUAAUUACGAUCACAAUGAACAAGAUGCAUAAGAUAAAACUUCUGGUGAAAUUCCAAUUUCAAUCGUUUAUAGUUGCAUGAUCCCAUAUAAUCACAUAGCCUAUAGCAUGUCAAUGCCUCUCCCUUCAAAGAUAAAGGGAAGACCUUCUUCUAGAUAACAUCAUCGGGCAUACCUGCAAGCUUAAAUAAUCCACAAACUUCAUCCACAUAUAUUAGGUGUAAAUCGGGAUGCAAUGUUUCAUCUCCUGUAAAGGGAUUAGCUAGCAGUUUCUCUACCAUACCCGAAGGAAUUUCAAAGUAAACAUUUUCAGUAGGUUCAGUAGGUUGAGGAGCAACUCUUUGCUCUUCUGGUCGGGGUGAAGAUACCCUGAACAAGCCCCUCAAAGGAUUAUGUUCCAUAGUAACAAGUGACAGUAAAUUUCAGCACACUAUAUAAAAUUUUCCUUACCAAGUUCCACUUACCAAAGGCGCUUCACUCCCCGGCAAAGACGCCAGAAAAGAGUCUUGAUGACCCACAAGUGUAGGGGAUCUAUCAUAGUCCUUUCAAUAAGUAAGAGUGUCGAACCCAACGAGGAGCAGAAGGAAAUGACAAGCGGUUUUCAGUAAGGUAUUCUCUGCAAGCACUGAAAUUAUCAGUAACAGAUAGUUUUGUGAUAAGGUAAUUUGUAAAAGGUAACAAGCAAUGAAAGUAAAUAAGGUGCAGCAAGGUGGCCCAAUCCUUUUUGUAGCAAAGUACAAGCCUGGAAAAGUUCUUAUAUAGAUAAAAGCGCUCCUGAGGACACAUGGGAAUUAUCGUCAAGCUAGUUUUCACCACGCUCAUAUGAUUCACGUUCGUUACUUUGAUAAUUUGAUAUGUGGGUGGACCGGUGCCUGGGUACUGCCCUUUCUUGGAUAAGCAUCCCACUUACGAUUAACCCCUAUUGCAAGCAUCCGCAACUACAGAAGAAAUAUUAAGGUAAACCUAACCAUAGCAUGAAACAUAUGGAUCCAAAUUAGCCCCUUACGAAGCAACUCAUCAACUAGGGUUUAAGCUUCUGUCACUCUAGCAACCCAUCAUCUACUUAUUACUUCCCAAUGCCUUCCUCUAGGCCCAAAUAAUGGUGAAGUGUCAUGUAGUCGACGUUCACAUAACACCACUAGAGGAGAGACAACAUACAUCUCAUCAAAAUAUCGAACGAAUACCAAAUUCACAUGACUACUAAUAGCAAGACUUCACCCAUGUCCUCAGGAACAAACAUAACUACUCACAAAGCAUAUUGAUGUUCAUGAUCAGAGGGGUAUUAAUAUGCAUUAAGGAUCUGAACAAAUGAUCUUCCACCGAAUAAACCAACUAGCAUCAACUACAAGGAGUAAUCAAAACUACUAGUAACCCACAGGUACCAAUCUGAGGUUUUGGUACAAAGAUUGGAUACAAGAGAUGAACUAGGGUUUGAGAGGAGAUGGUGCUGGUGAAGCUGUUGAUGGAGAUUGACCCCCUCCUGAUGAGAGGAUCGAUGGUGAUGAUGAUGGUGAUGAUUUCCCCCUCCUGGAGGGAAGUUUCCCCGACAGAACAGCUCCGCUAGAGCCCUAGAUUGGUUCCGCCUCGUGGCGGCGGAGUUUCAUCCCGAAAGCUUGCUUAUGAUUUUUUUCAGGGUAAAAGACCUCAUAUAGCAGAAGAUGGGCACCGAAGGGCUGCCAGGUGGCCCAUGAGGCAGGGGGGCGCACCCAGGGGUGUAGGGCACGCCCCCCACCCUCGUGGCUAGGGUGUGGGGCCCCUCUGGUGUUUCUUCUGCUCAGUAUUUUUUAUUAAAUCCAAAAAUGACUUCCGUGGAGUUUUAGGACUUUUCGAGUUGUGCAUAAUAGGUCUCUAAUAUUUGCUCCUUUUCCAGCCCAGAAUUCCAGCUGCCGGCAUUCUCCCUCUUCAUGUAAACCUUGUAAAAUAAGAGAGAAUAGCCAUAAGUAUUGUGAGAUAACGUGUAAUAACAGCCCAUAAUGCAAUAAAUAUCGAUAUAAAAGCAUGAUGCAAAAUGGAGGUAUCAUUGUGCAUCCUCUAUGGUCAGGAGACAGAAACGCUCAAUCACCUGCUAGCUGGAUGUGUGUUCUCGUGCAUCAGCUGGAACGAGAUCCUCUCGUGGUGUCACCUCACUGCGCUCCCACCCGACGCAGCCGAUGGUUUCUUCGAUUAGUGGCAGGACACCGUCGCUGCAUCUCCCUCUGUCCACCGCAAAGGACUUUCAUCGCUCAUCAUCCUCUCGGCUUGGAGCAUAUGGAAGCACCGCAACAAUGCAAUCUUCGAUGAUGGUGUGGUAUCUGCUAGUAAGCUCAUGGCUUGCAUCAAAGAAGACGCCCGGUCGGGGGCAAAGGCCGACGUUAAAGGACUAGAUCGCAUUAUCCCUGUAACCUGAUCUACGGCUUUGGGGGCUGAGCAACCCCCCCUCUUCUGUUGACCAAGGCCUCCUACUAAUGCCGGUUUGUGCACGGUAGUAGGGGUGGCACCCCUUGUAUUGUUCUCCACGCCUCUCUAUCAAUGAAAUGAUACGCGCAAGGCGUAUUCCCGAAAAGGUACAUAGUCGUGGGGGUAGUAUGGGUGCAUUUUGUAGCCCACGUAUAGGCCAACCAGGCCCGCGUGAAAAGAUAAGGGCAUGAACAAUGGUGCCUCGUGAUAAAAAGUAGGAUGAGACAAUUGUAUUGAUUUUUUCUCCUCAACGCAAGCUACUGCUGUAGGGAAACAUGGUAAUUUCAAAAAAAAUCUACGCUCAUGCAAGAUCAUGGUGAUGCAUAGCAACAAGAGGGGAGAGUGUUGUCCACGUACCCUCGUAGACCAAAAGCGGAAGCAUUAUGCCAACGCAGUUGAUGUAGUCGUACGUCUUCACAAUCGACCGAUCCAAGUACCGAACGUACGGCACCUCCGCGAUCUACACAUGUUCAGCUUGGUCACGUCCCAUGAACUUCGAUCUAGCAAGUGUUGAAGGAGAGUUUCUUCAGCACAACGGCGUGAUGACGAUGGUGAUGAAGCUACCGGCACAGGGCUUCUCCUAAGCACUGGAACAAUAUGACCGAGGUGGAUUAUUGUGGAAGGGGGCACCGCACACGGCUAAGAGAUCAAUGAUCAACUUGUGUGUCUAUGGGGUGCCCCCCUCCUCCGUAUAUAAAGGAGUGGAGGAGGGGGAGGGCCGGCCCUCUACUAUGGCGCGCCCUGGGGAGUCCUACUCCCAUCGGGAGUAGGAUUCCCCCCUUCCAAGUAGUAGGAGUAAGAGAGAAAGAAAGGGAAGAGAGAAGAGAAGGAAGGAGGGGGCGUUGUCCCUCCCCGUAGUCCAAUUAGGACUAGGCCUAAAGGGGGUGCGUGGCCUGCCCUAGGCAGCCCCUCCCUCUCUCCCUUAAAGCUCAAUAAGGCCCAUAUACUCCUCGGCGAAUUCCCGUAACUCUCCGGUACUCCGAUAAAUACCCGAACCACUCAGAACCUUUCUGAUGUCCGAAUAUAGCCUUCCAAUAUAUUGAUCUUUACGUCUCAAACAUUUUGAGACUCCUCAUCAUGUCCCUGAUCUCAUCAGGGACUCCGAACAACCUUCGGUACAUCAAAACACAUAAACUCAUAAUACUGAUCAUCACCGAACGUUAAGCGUGCGGACCCUAUGGGUUCGAGAACUAUGUAGACAUGACCGAGACUCAUCUCCGGUCAAUAACCAAUAGUGGAACCUAGAUGCUCAUAUUGACUUCUACAUAUUCUACGAAGAUCUUUAUCAGUCAAACCUCAUAAAAACAUACGUUGUUCCCUUUGUCAUCGAUAUGUUACUUGCCCGAGAUUCGAUCGUCGGUAUCACCAUACCUAGUUCAAUCUCGUUACUAGAAAGUCUCUUUACUCGUUUCGGAAUGCAUCAUCCCACAACUAACUCAUUAGCCACAUUGCUUGCAAGGCUCAUAGUGAUGUGCAUUACCGAGAGGGCCCAGAGAUACCUCUCCGACAAUCGGAAUGACAAAUCCUAAUCUCGAUCUAUGUCAACUCAACAAACACGAUCGGAGACACCUGUAGAGCACCUUUAUAAUCACCCAGUUACGCUGUGACGUUUGGUAGCAAACAAAGUGUUCCUCCGGUAUUCGGAAGUUGCAUAAUCUCAUAGUCAUAGGAACAUGUAUAAGUCAUCAAGAAAGCAAUAACAACAUACUAAACAAUCAAGUGCUAAGCUAACAGAAUGGGUCAAGUCAAUCACAUCAUUCUCUAAUGAUGUGAUCCUGUUAAUCAAAUGACAACUCAUGUCUAUGGCUAGGAAACUUAACCAUCUUUGAUUCGACGAGCUAGUCAAUUAGAGGCAUACUAGUUACACUCUAUUUGUCUAUGUAUUCACACAUGUACUAAGUUUCCAGUUAAUACAAUUCUAGCAUGAAUAAUAAACAUUUAUCAUGAUAUAAGGAAAUAUAAAUAACAACUUUAUUAUUGCCUCUAGGGCAUAUUUCCUUCAGUCUCCCACUUGCACUAGAGUCAAUAAUCUAGUUCACAUCGCCAUGUGAUUUAACACCAAUAGUUCACAUCUUUAUGUGAUUAACACCCAUAGUUCACAUCGCCAUGUGACCAACACUCAAAAGGUUUACUAGAGUCAAUAAUCUAGUUCACAUCGCUAUGUGAUUAACACCCAAGAGUAAUAAGGUAUGAUCAUGUUUUGCCCGUGAGAGAAAUUUUUAGUCUACGGGUUUGCAACAUUCAGAUCCAUAUGUAUUUUGCAAAUUUCUAUGUCUACAAUACUCUGCAUGGAGCUACUCUAGCUAAUUGCUCCCACUUUCAAUAUGUAUCUAGAUCGAGACUCAGAAUCAUCUAGAUCGGUGUCAAAGCUUGCAUCGACGUAACUCUUUACGAUGAACUCUUUGUCACCUCCAUAACCGAGAAAUAUUUCCUUAUUCUACUAAGGAUAGUUUUGACCAUUGUCCAGUGAUCUACUCCUAGAUCACUAUUGUACUCCCUUGCCAAACUCCGGGAGGGUAUACAAUAGGUCUAGUACAUAGCAUGGCAUACUUCAUAGAACCUAUGGCUGAGGCAUAGGGAAUGACUUUUCAUUCUCUUUCUAUUUUCUCCCGUGGUCGGGUUUUGAGUCUUAUUCAACUUCACACCUAGCAACACAGGCAAGAACUCCUUCUUUGAUUGCUCCAGUUUGAACUACUUCAAAAUCUUGUCAAGGUAUGUACUUAUUGAAAAACUUAUCAAGUGUCUUGAUCUAUCUCUAUAGAUCUUGAUGCUCAAUAUGUAAGCAGCUUCACCGAGGUCUUUCUUUGAAAAACUCCUUUCAAAUACUCCUUUAUGCUUUCCAGAAAAUUCUACAUUAUUUCCGAUCAACAAUAUGUCAUUGAUACGUCCAUUUUGCAUCAUGCUUUUAUGUCAAUAUUUAUUGCAUUAUGGGCUGUUAUUUCACGUUAUGUCACAAUACUUAUGGCUAUUCUCUCUUAUUUUACAAGGUUUACAUGAAGAGGGAGAAUGCCGGCAGCUGAAAUUCUGGGCUGGAAAAGGAGCAAAUAUUGAAGGACCACUCUACGCAACUCCAAAAGUCCUGAAACUCCACGGAAUACCUUAGAAUAAAUAAAGAAAAAUCUUCUCCAAAGAUGAAGGCCAGGGGGCCCACACCCUGCUCACGAGGGUGGGGGCACGCCCCCUGGGCAUGCCCCCUACCUCGUGGGCCCCCUGGUGGCGCUCCGACGCCCAUCUUCUCCUAUAUGAAGUCUUUCGAUGAGAAAAAAAUCAGGGAGAACCUUUCGGGACGAUACUCCACCGCCACGAGGCGGAACCUUGGCGGAACCAAUCUAGGGUUCCGGCAGAGCUGUUCUGCCGGAGACACUUCCCUCCGGGAGGGGGAAAUCAUCAUCAUCGUCAUCACAACGCUCCUCUCAUCGAGAGAGGGCAAUCUCCAUCAACAUCUUCACCAGCACCAUCUCAUAUCCAAACCCUAGUUCAUCUCUUGUAUCCAAUUCUUGUAUCCAAGUCCGGGAUUGGUGCUAUUAGGUUGCUAGUAGUGUUGAUUACUCUUUGUAGUUGAUGCUAGUUGGUUUAUUUGGUGGAAGACCAUAUGUUCAGAUCCUUUAUGCAUAUUAUUACCCCUCUGAUUACGAACAUGAAUAUGCUUUGUGAGUAGUUAUGUUUGUUCCUGAGGACAAGGGAGAAGUCUUGCUAUUAGUAGUCAUUUGACUUUGGUAUUCGUUCGAUAUUUUGACAAGAUGUAUGUUGUCUAACCUCUAGUGGUGUUAUGUGAACGUCGACUACAUAACACGUCACUAUUAUUUGGGCCUAGAGGAAGGCAUUGGGAAGUAAUAAGUAGAUGAUGGGUUGCUAGAGUGACAGAAGCUUAAACCCUAGUUUAUGCGUUGCUUCGUAAGGGGCUGAUUUGGAUCCACAUGUUUCAUGCUAUGGUUAGGUUUACCUUAAUACUUUUGUUGUAGUUGCGGAUGCUUGCAAUAGAGGUUAAUCAUAAGUGGGAUGCUUGUCCAAGUAAGGGAAGUACCCAAGCACCGGUCCACCCACAUAUCAAAUUAUCAAAGUACCGAACGCGAAUCAUAUGAGCGUGAUGAAAACUAGCUUGACGAUAUUCCCAUGUGUCCUCGGGAGCGCUUUUCCUAUUAUAAGAGUUUGUCCAGGCUUGUCCUUUGCUACAAAAAGGAUUGGGCCACCUUGCUGCACUUCAUUUACUUUUGUUACUUGUGGCUCAUUACAAUUUAUCCUAUCACAAAACUAUCUGUUACCACUUAUUUCAGUACUUGCAGAGAAUACCUUGCUGAAAACUGCUUAUCAUUUCCUUCUGCUCCUUGUUGGGUUCGACACUCUUACUUAUCGAAAGGACUACGAUAGAUCCCCUAUACUUGUGGGUCAUCAAGACUCUUUUCUGGCACCGUUGCCGGGGAGUGAAGCGCCUUUUAUUUAGUGUGAUGAAAUUUUCUGUCACUUCUUACUAUGGAAAGUAAUUGUUUGAGGGGCUUGUUCGGGGUAUCUUCACCCCGUCCGAUUGAGCCAAGAGUUGCUCCUCAACCCACUGAACCUACUGAAUCUAUUGAAAAUGGAACUCCUUUUGGAAUUCCUUCGGGUAUGAUGGAAAAACUGCUAGCUAACACUUUCGCAGGAGAUGGAACAAAGCAUCCUGACGAACAUCUAUGCUUUGUGGAUGAUAUUUGUGGACUAUUUAAGCUUGCAGGUAUACCUGAUGAUGUUGUUAAGAAGAAGGCUUUCCCUUUAUCUUUGGAGGGAGACGCAUUGACAUGGUAUAGGCUAUGUGAUGAUACGAGAUCAUGGAACUAUAAAAGAGUGAAAUUGGAAUUUCAUCAGAAGUAUUACCCUAUGCAUCUUGUUCAUCGUGAUCGCAAUUAUAUAUUUAAUUUUUGGCCUCGCGAAGGAGAAAGUAUCGCUCAAGCUUGGGGGAGGCUUAAAUCAAUGUUAUAUUCAUGCCCCAAUCAUGAGCUCUCAAAAUUGACAAUUCCCCAGAAUUUUUAUGCUCGGCUUUCUGAUAACAAUCGCACCAUGCUCGAUACUUCUUAUGCUGGCUCUUUUAUGAUGAAGCCUGUUGAAUUUGGAUGGAAUCUAUUGGAUAGAAUUAAAUGCAACUCUGAAGAUUGGGACCUCGACGAAGGUAAGGAGUCAGGUAUGACACCUAAGUUUUAUUGUGUUAAAUCUUUUAUGGAUACCGAUAUUUUCCGUAAGUUUAGCACUAAAUAUGGACUUGACUGUGAGAUAGUAGCUUCUUUCUGUGAAUCUUUUGCUACUUAUGUUGAUCUCCCCAAGGAGAAGUGGUUUAAAUAUCAUCCUCACAUAGAAGUAAAAGCAGUUGCACCUAUUAAAGUUGAAGAAAAGAUUGUCACUUAUAAUGAUCCUAUUGUUCCUACUUCUUAUGUUGAGAAACCUCCUUUCCCUGUUAGAAUGAAGGAUCAUGCUAAAGCUUCAACUGUUGUUCGUAAAAGUAAUAUUAGGACUUAUACACCUCCUGAGCAAGUCAAAGUAGAACCCAAUAUUGCUAUUGUUAAAGAUCUCUUGUCUGACAAUAUUGAUGGGCAUGUUAUUCAAUUUUGUGGUGAAACUGCCAGAAUUGCUAAACCUAGUGAUAAAGAUAAACAUAGACCUGUGGUAGGCGUGCCUGUUAUUUCUGUUAAAAUAGGAGAUCAUUGUUAUCAUGGCUUGUGUGAUAUGGGUGCUAGUGCUAGUGCUAUGCCCAUUGACUUAUACAAUGAAAUUAUGCAUGAUAUUGCACCUGCUAAGUUAGAAGGUAUCGAUGUUACAAUUAAACUUGCCAAUAGAGACACUAUUUCUCCAGUGGGAAUUGUUAGAGAUGUUGAAGUCUUGUGUGGGAAAACCAAAUAUCCCGCUGAUUUUCUUGUUCUUGGUUCCCCACAAGAUAGCUUUUGUCCCAUUAUAUUUGGUAGACCCUUCUUGAAUACUGUUAACGCUAAGAUAGAUUGCAAAAAGAAUGUUGUUACUAUUGGUUUGGACGAUAUGGUUCAUGAGUUUAAUUUCUCUAAAUUUAGUAAACAACAUCAUGAGGAAGAAUCACCUAGUAAGGAUGAAAUUAUUGGUCUUGCCUCUAUUGAUGUACCUCCUAAUGAUCCUUUAGAACAGUAUUUGCUAGAUCAUGAAAAUGAUAUGUUUAUGAAUGAAAGAAGGGAAAUAGAUGAAGUAUUCUUUAAACAGGAACCUAUUCUGCAACACAAUUUGCCUGUUGAAAUCCUAGGGGAUCCUCCUCCACCCAAGGGUGAUCUCGUUUUUGAGCUUGAACAGUUGCCUCAUAAUCUUAAAUAUGCUUAUUUGAUGAAAAGAAAAUAUAUCAUGUCAUUAUUAGCGCUAACCUUUCAGAGCAUGAAGAGGAAAUAUUAUUGAAAACUGUGAAGAAACAUCGUGUUGCUAUUGGAUAUACUCUGGAUGAUCUUAAGGGCAUUAGUCCCACUCUAUGUCAACAUAAAAUAAAUGUGGAAGCUGAUGCCAAACCAAUUUGUGAUCCUCAAUGAUGUUUGAAUCCUAAAAUGAAAGAAGUGGUAAGAAAAGAAAUACUCAAGCUUCUGGAGGCAGGUAUAAUUUAUCCCGUUGCUGAUAGUCAGUGGGUAAGUCAUGUUCAUUGUGUCCCUAAGAAGGGAGGUAUUACAGUUGUCCCUAAUGAUAAAGAUGAAUUGAUCCCUCAAAGAAUUAUCACAGGUUAUAUGAUGGUAAUUGAUUUCCAUAAAUUAAAUAAAGCUACUAAGAAAGAUCAUUACCCCUUACCUUUUAUUGAUCAAAUGCUAGAGAGGCUAUGCAAACAUACACAUUAUUGCUUUCUAAAUGGUUAUUCUAGUUUCUCUCAAAUACCUGUGUCAGCUAAAGAUCAAUCAAAGACUACUUUUACAUGCCCUUUUGGUACUUUUUCUUAUAGACGUAUGCCUUUUGGUUUAUGUAAUGCACCUGCUACCUUUCAAAGAUGCAUGAUGGCUAUAUUCUCUGACUUUCCCGAAAAGAUUUGUGAGGUUUUCAUGGAUGACUUUUCCGUCUAUGGUUCCUCUUUUGAUGAUUGCUUAAGCAAUCUUGAUCGAGUUUUGCAGAGAUGUGAAGAAACUAAUCUUGUCUUGAAUUGGGAAAAGUGCCACUUUAUGGUUAAUGAAGGUAUUGUCUUGGGGCACAAAGUUUCUGAAAGAGGUAUUCAAGUUGAUAAAGCCAAGGUUGAUGCUAUUGAAAAGAUGCCAUGUCCAAAGGACAUCAAAGGUAUAAGAAGUUUCCUUGGUCACGCCGGAUUUUAUAGGAGGUUCAUUAAGGACUUCGCAAAAAUCUCCCGGAUUUUAUAAGAUGCCAUGUACCGUUCGUCUUUGAUGAUGAUUCUGUAGAAGCAUUUGAAAUACUUAAGAAAGCACUAGUCUCUGCACCUGUUGUUCAGCCACCUGAUUGGAAUUUACCCUUUGAAAUUAUGUGUGAUGCUAGUGAUUAUGUUGUAGGUGAUGUUCUAGGGCGGAGAGUUGAUAAGAAAUUAAAUGUUAUCCAUUAUGCUAGUAAGACUCUAGAUAGUGGUCAAAGAAAUUAUGCUACUACCGAAAAGGAAUUUUUAGCAGUGGUGUUUGCUUGUGAUAAAUUCAGACCCUAUAUUGUUGAUUCCAAAGUUACUAUUCACACUGAUCAUGCUGCUAUUAAAUAUCUUAUGGAAAAAAGGAUGCAAAACCUAGACUUAUUAGAUGGGUUCUCCUACUUCAAGAAUUUGAUUUACAUAUUGUUGAUAGAAAGGGAGCUGAGAACCCCGUUGCAGACAACUUGUCUAGGCUAGAGAAUGUUCUUGAUGACCCACUACCUAUUGAUGAUAGCUUUCCUGAUGAGCAAUUAAAUGUCAUAAGUACUUCUCGUAGCACUCCAUGGUAUGCUGAUUAUGCUAAUUAUAUUGUUGCCAAAUUUAUACCGCCUAGCUUCACAUACCAACAAAAGAAAAAGUUUUUCUAUGACUUGCGACAUUACUUUUGGGAUGACCCACAUCUUUAUAAAGAAGGAGUAGAUGGUGUUAUUAGACAUUGUGUACCUGAGCAUGAACAGGAACAUAUCACUACUAGGGAAAAGCCUAGCAGCAGCGCGGGUUUUAGGCCUAUCAGUAGCGCGGGCAGGAGCGCUACUGAUAAGGCGCUACAGCUAAUGCUUAGCAAUAGCGCGCCUAGAUCCACGCUACUGCUAAAUUGACUUAGUAGUAGCGCUUCAUUACAACAGCGCUACUGGUAAUUAGUAGUAGCGCUUCUCCUUUCCCGCGAUACUACUAUUAUUUAGUAUUUUAUUUCUUUUUUAUUUCAUGUUGUAUUCAUACACCUUUACACAAGUUUUCAUACAACAGGAAUUUAGAGAUUGUUUUUACAUCAUAAUGAGUUGUUACAUCACGGGGUGAAAGAACCGUGGACUAGUUUCAAGUGGAUGCCCAUCCACUUGAAACUAAUCCGUGGUUCUUUCACCCAAUGAUAUAAUAAUAUCAUCAUCAUCAUCAUAUCAUUAACAACUUAUCAUCAUAAUACAUCAUUUUCAUAUAACACCUCAUUAUCAAGUACUCCUCAUUAUCAACUCUAACACAUUACCACAUAAUAAACAUAUUGUACCUCAUAGGACCUGUUACAUUCGAUUAAGACCUACUACAUUUUCUAAGGUAAAAUACCAAAAAACAAGAUAGCCCCUGACUCUCCAUUAUGGAGAAUGGAGAUUAGCCUGUCUCCAAUUCUUGCCUUUCGCUGAAUGUUACUUCCAAGAACCUCCUUGCGAAUGUCCAUACAUUUCUUCCAUUCUUUGAUGAACAUGUGUUCACGGGUUUUAGAAAUCCGAUAUGCACAGGUGAGCUCCGUAGAUUUACCUGGCAGUAUGUUCAGAACUGAGAGGCGACCGUGCAGAGACAUCAGAUGAGGCACACAAUCCAUCAGGAGUUUCUGUUGAAAACCAUAAUAAUAACUUCGUAGUUAGCAAUGAUGUACUAGUUUUAGAAGUAUGCAAAAGAUGCACGGAUGUUGUAAUAGUAAAAAAUCUUACCAGGGUAUCUCCAGAGAAGUUACCGUGGUUCAACUCAUGCACUAGUGGCACGUAUUCACCAUAAUUUGGAGGAGUUCGAUAAUAGUUAUUGUAAUUCUCAAGAAGAGUACAAAAUGCGAUCAGAUGAUUUUUCUCCUUAUACGUUAAUUCGGUGCCAUCGGUGUAGUGGGUUUUAUCUACCAUCUUCCGCACAAUCUUUGAAGAAUCAAAAUAAGCUGUCAAUGGAAAUAAGCUAUCAACUAUUUUGAAAUAAACAAUAUAAAUUAGCUAAUAACUAUGUUUGAGAAACUCACAUAGCGGUACAAUCGGAAGCGUAUCAACAAGUACCCAAAUGUCCAUAUUGUCUUGCUCGAUGUCAGGAUCACCAAGAUCCAUGAUGACAAUCAUACCCUCAUAAAAACCAUACAUUUUGCAAAGUGCUUCCCAAUUUUGGCAACCAAAAUGGGUUACGCUUUGAGCAUUGCACAGAUUUACUUCAAAAUCCAUAUCAUGAUGGGUCUUUAGGUGUAUUUUCUUUGUUUCGAAAUUUUCAUGGUCUUUAAAACCCAUCCUCUCCAAGACAAAGCGUCUUGCAUGGCAUGAGAUAAGCUAGUCGAAUUGUAAAAUAUGAAAAUUAGACAUUGAAAUAGUUGAAGUCAUACUUAAUUACGAAAAAAACACUUGUCGUUGUUGCGUACCGUUUCACAAUCGAAGAUCUCCUCGAGCUUAAUGCUGAAGCGCCGAUCUUUGUCAAGCUGAACGAACCUGUCGCACAUACCUCGAUCGUCGUGGCACCAGCUACACUCCUCCGGGAGACUGUCGUUGUCCGAGUACGACAUUUCCUACGUUCAUAAUUCAAAGAUUAAACUUUUAUAUAUUCUAGCACAAGUCAUGCCAGAAUUCACGAAAAAAUCCGGCAUGACCUUUGCUAAAAAAGGACAUAUCGAGCGCCUAAAAUUUGCCAGAACGGAAAUUAAUCAACACUCCGGCAAAACAUAGGCCACUCGGAGAUGUAAACUGAACAUGAACGGCCACUUGGCAACCACAUAUCCUAUUUGAGCAACAACACAAGAUAUACAAGGAUAUUUGGCUGGUCUCACCUCGAUGUCGGAGGGGGUCGGUGACUGGGACGAUGGCGGGGAUGUCGGAGGGGGUCGGUGAUGGGGACGAUGGUGGUCACCUGAAACCAUAUAAGUUAUCACUAAUACUUCCCGAAUAAUUGCUUAAACUAAAAAAUAACAACAAAUAUGACAUGUUCAACUAGUUUUAUUAAUUCAACUAGUUCUUACUAAAUAUAAACUUACUAUAAAUAGAAAAAACUAGUUCUUUCUAAAAAUAAAGUAGUUCAACUAGUUAUAUUAAUUAUCUUACUAAAAAUACAUUAGUUCUAUUAAUUCAACUAGUUCAACUAGUUUAUUAAUUUACUUACUAAACUAGUUCAACUACAACUAAAGUAGUUCAACUACAACUACUAUUAAUCAUACUGCCCUAGUUAACUAGUACCAUCACUACUAGUAAUUAACAUCUACUACUACUAAAAAUCUAGUACUAACUAAGCAACAUCUAGUACUAGCUAUGAACCCUAAAUUAACAUGUAUAACUACUAAAUCUAGUACUAACUAGUGGCAGGGGGUGGGGGCGAUGGAGAGGUAGCUAGGGGCGGCGAGGUCGAGGGCGGUGGGAGGAGGGCUGCCAGCGGAGGAGGGAGGAGGGGCGGCCGCAGGCGGAGGGAGGAGGGCGGCAGAGGAGGAGGGAGGGGCGGCCGCAGGCGGAGGGACGAUGUGCGAGGAGGAGGGAGGAGGGACGAAAGGAGGGGAGUACCUCGGCGGCGGACGGACGAAGGUGGCGGCGGCGACGACGCACGACGAUGGUUAUCGGCACGGGGGCAAGAGUGAGAGUGUGAGUGAGGGCCGGUCGUGCGCGUGUGGGGAGAUAAGGUAGGGAUAGUUGUAGCGCGUUUGACAAAAUGCGCUACAGCUAAUCUCAAUAGUAGUAGCACUUUGCAUAUAAACCGCUACUGCUAAGUGUAACUAUACAAAAAAUACUAGUAUGCAAAAAUACAUUGGCCAUCAAUUAUCUUUUUGUGUACAAUCUGAAUUGUCAAUAUGAGUCCUCUCCGGUUUACAAUCUGAAUUGUCAAUAUGAGUCCUCUCCGGUAGGAACCGGAGAGGACUCAUAUUGCGGCCACAAAUUUUACACAUAGAGUUUAGUGAAGACCAACUGGUUGUGGUAGUUUCAAAAAUAACAUAUUUAAGGUGGUAAACACCCUGUUCACGGAGCGAGGUGGGACUAAACUUGUAGGCUGAUCUUAGCAGUAGCGGUUUUCCUAGAAGAGCGCUGCUGCUAACUUCUAUAGCAGUAGCGCUGUUCAAUAUUGUGCGCUACUGCUAUAACUAGCGGGGGGGCGAGGUCAUGGCAAUUAUAGCAGUAGCGCGGUUUGUGGUGGACGCGCUACUGCUAUUUUCCUGUCAGCAGCGUGUUUCGGUAACACGCACUGCUGCUAAAUAGCAGUAGCGUGGUAUUUUGGGGAGCGCUGCUGGUAAGAUUCUUUGUAUAGGCUUUUCCCUAGUAGUGUAUCCUACGUAAGUGUCACUCCGAAGCUUAUGGAGGACAUCACGCUAGAGGUAGAACUGCACAUAAGGUAUUGCAAUCCGGUUUUUAUUGGCCUACUCUCUUCAAGGAUGCCCGUAAGUUUGUUUUUUCUUGCGAUGAAUGUCAAAGAAUUGGUAAUAUCAGUAGACGUCAAGAAAUGCCUAUGAAUUAUUCACUUGUUAUUGAGCCAUUUGAUGUUUGGGGCUUUGAUUAUAUGGGACCUUUUCCUGCCUCUAGUGGUUACACUCAUAUUCUAGUUGCUGUUGAUUACGUUACUAAGUGGGUAGAAGCUAUUCCAACUAGUAGUGCUGAUCAUAACACUUCUAUUAAAAUGCUUAAGGAAGUUAUUUUUCCGAGGUUUGGAGUCCCUAGAUACUUAAUGACUGAUGGUGGUUCACACUUUGUUCAUGGUGCUUUCCGUAAUAUGCUUGAUAAAUACAAUGUUAAUCAUAGAAUUGCAUCUCCUUAUCACCCGCAAUCUAGUGGUCAAGUAGAGUUGAGCAACAGAGAGCUCAAAUUAAUUUUGCAAAAGACUGUUAAUAGGUCUAGAAAGAAUUGGUCCAAGAAACUUGAUGAUGCAUUAUGGGCCUAUAGAACUGCAUAUAAAAAUCCUAUGGGUAUGUCUCCGUACAAAAUGGUCUAUGGAAAAGCUUGUCACUUACCUCUCGAGCUAGAACAUAAGGCAUAUUGGGCUAUUAAAGAGCUCAACUAUGAUUUCAAACUUGCUGGUGAGAAGAGGUUAUUUGAUAUUAGCUCACUUGAUGAAUGGAGAGCCCAAGCAUAUGAAAAUGCCAAGUUGUUUAAAGAAAAAGUUAAAAGAUGGCAUGACAAAAGGAUACAAAAGCGUGAGUUUAAUGUAGGUGAUUAUGUAUUGGCAUACAACUCUCAUUUAAGAUUUUUUGCAGGAAAACUUCUCUCUAAAUGGGAAGGUCCCUACGUUAUCGAGGAGGUAUAUCCUUCCCGUGCCAUAAAAAUCAACAACUUCACAGGCACAAAUCCGAAGGUGCUAAACGGUCAAAGGAUCAAACACUAUAUCUCAGGUAAUCCUAUAAAUGUUGAAACUAAUAUUAUUGAAACCGUGACCCCAGAGGAGUAUAUAAAGGACACUUUCCAGAACAUUCCAGACUCCGAAAAGGAAUAGGUAUGUGGUACGGUAAGUAAACCGACUCCAAAACAAGUUUUAAGGCAAUAUUUCUCCGUUUUGGAAUAUUUAGAAAAAUAGAAAAAUAAGUAGCAGUCCGGGGAGGACACGAGGCCUCCACGAGGGUGGAGGGCGCGCCCUACCCCCCUGGGCGCGCCCCCUACCUCGUGAGCACCUUGUGUGCCCUCCGGACUCUGUUUCCUUGCAUGAUAUGUAUUUUGGUCAGUAAAAUUUCAUUAUAUAUACUCCCGAAGAUUUUGACCACCGUAUCACGCAAAUAUCCUCUGUUUUCGUUUCGAGCUAUUUCCGUUGCAGAUUUAGAGCACCAUGACUUCUUCCUCUUCCAACAAUGAAGGCAAGGAUGCUUGGCUAUUAAAGAUAGAGUUGAAAAGAGAGGAACCAGAAGAAAUCAACAAGGAUGAAAGGAUCAAGAAGGCCAUGGAUGUUCAAGCUCCGGUGGUGAAUGAAGAAUUCAUCCCUCAACCCUUACCUAACCUUUUCACUCCAACAGAGAUUGAAGCUUUCAAGAUGAUUGAGUUAACCCGCAUACAGAACAAGUAUCUUACACAGGAGAAUAUUUUGUUGAAGGAUCAUAUUGCUGGGCUCAAGGGCAUUAUCCGCAAGUUGGAGGAACUUUUACGCUCGAUGUGCGAUUAUCCACCGUCAUCAUCACCACCUCCAUCACCUCUAAGGAUAUAAUCAAAUGGGUAUGGGCACUCCCCUUGGCAACUGCCAAGCUUGGGGGAGGUGCCCUGGUAUCAUAUCACCAUCACAACUUCUAUCUUUACCGUUUUUCUUAGUUCGAUCCUAUUAGUAGUAUCUUGAUAUAGUAGAAUAAAGUCAUGGCAUGAUCUAGUUUUGAGUUUUGCUUUAUGAUCCUUCUUUGUAAUCGAGUCCGUGAGCUAUAUAAUAAAGAUUAGUGUCGAGUCAAGGGAUUGAUUGUUUUGCCAUGAUCUUGGGUGAUUAGAAGAAAAAGAAUAAAAAGAAUCAAGAGUUCAUAUUGAUCUUAUUGAAAGUAAUGACUUCACAUAGAAAGAGUAUGAUGAUUUAAAGUUGUUGGGAGUUGGCAAAUAUAGCUUUGGUCAUCGUUGCAAUUAAUAGGAAGUAAUAAGGAAAGAGAGGUUUCACAUAUAGAUAUAUUAUCAUUGACAUCUUUUAUGGUUGGGAGCACUCAUUAAAAUAUGACAUGCUAAAGAGUUGAGGUUGGACAAGGAAGACAACAUAAUGAGUUAUGUUUUCUUACAUUCAAGAUAAAGUAUGUUGUCAUGGAUCCUCUACCGUGUUGAGCUUGCCUUUCCCCCUCAUGCUGGCCAAAUUCUUAGCACCAAGUAGAAAUAGAAAUACUACUUGUGCUUCCAAACACCCUUAAACCAGUGUUGCCAUGAGAGUCCACCAUAUCUACCUAUGGAUUGAGUAAGAUCCUUCAAGUAAGUUGUCAUCGGUGCAAGCAAUAAAAAUUUCUCUCUAAAUAUGCAUGACUUAUUAAUGUAGAGAAAUAAGCUUUGCACGAACUUGUUGUGGACGCAAUAAAAGCGACAAACUACAUAAUAAAGGUUCACAUGCAAGGGGCAAUAUAAAGUGACGUUCUUUUGCAUUAAGAUUUUGUGAAUCAACCCUAAACGCGCAUGACAACCUCUGCUUCCAUCUGCAAAGGGCUAUCUUUUAUUAUUAUCCUCUACCUUAUGCAAGAGUCACGGUGAUCCUCACCAUUCCUUUUUCAUUUUUUCCUUUGGCAAGCUCAGCAUGUUGGAAAUAGUAUGAUAUACAUAUCUAAUUGGAUGUGGGGGAGCAUGAAUUAUUAUUGUUAACAUUACCCUUGAGGUAAAAGGUUGUGGGGCAAAACUAUAAGCCCCUAUCUUUCUCUGUGUCCGAUUAAAACUCCGUAACCACAAGUAUCGCGUGAGUGCUAGCAAUUAUGAAGGACUAAAUGAUAGUUGAGUAUGUGGACUUGCUUUUAAGCUCUGACAUAGACUCUUUCCGAUGUUAUGUUAAAUCGCAAUUGCUUCAAUGACUGAGAUUAUAAUUGUUAGUGCCCAAUAAUGUUUCUGAUUCAUGCUUUGGCUUUGUGAAUAGGUCAUUACUUGAACAUGAGUAAUCAUAUGACAAAAUCUAUUUAUAUUGCUGUUAUGAAAUAAUCAUGAUGCCUUCAUGUCCGUAUUUUAAUUUUUAUCGACGCCUCUACCUCUAAACAUGAGAACAUAUUUAUUGUUAUCGGCUUUUCGCUUGAGGACAAGCGAGGUCUAAGCUUGGGGGAGUUGAUACGUCCAUUUUGCAUCAUGCUUUUAUGUCAAUAUUUAUUGCAUUAUGGGCUGUUAUUUCACGUUAUGUCACAAUACUUAUGGCUAUUCUCUCUUAUUUUACAAGGUUUACAUGAAGAGGGAGAAUGCCGGCAGCUGGAAUUCUGGGCUGGAAAAGGAGCAAAUAUUGAAGGACCAUUCUGCGCAACUCCAAAAGUCCUGAAACUCCACAGAAUACCUUAGAAUAAAUAAAGAAAAAUUGUCGCCAAAGAUGAAGGCCAGAGGGCCCACACCCUGCUCACGAGGGUGGGGGGCGCGCCCCCCCCCUGGGCGCCCCCCUACCUCGUGGGCCCCCUGGUGGCUCUCCGACACCCAUCUUCUCCUAUAUGAAGUCUUUCGAUGAGAAAAAAAUCAGGGAGAACCUUUCGGGACGAGACUCCGCCGCCACGAGGCGGAACCUUGGCGGAACCAAUCUAGGGCUCCGGCAGAGCUGUUCUGCCGGAGACACUUCCCUCCGGGAGGGGGAAAUCAUCAUCAGCGUCAUCACAAUGCUCCUCUCAUUGGGAGAGGGCAAUCUCCAUCAACAUCUUCACCAGCACCAUCUCAUCUCCAAACCCUAGUUCAUCUCUUGUAUCCAAUUCUUGUCUCCAUGUCCGGGAUUGGUGCUAUUAGGUUGCUAGUAGUGUUGAUUACUCUUUGUAGUUGAUGCUAGUUGGUUUAUUUGGUGGAAGACCAUAUGUUCAGAUCCUUUAUGCAUAUUAUUACCCCUCUGAUUAUGAACAUGAAUAUGCUUUGUGAGUAGUUACGUUUGUUCCUGAGGACAAGGGAGAAUUCUUGCUAUUAUUAGUCAUGUGAAUUUGGUAUUCGUUUGAUAUUUUGAUAAGAUGUAUGUUGUCUAACCUCUAGUGGUGUUAUGUGAACGUCGACUACAUAACACUUCACCAUUAUUUGGGCCUAGAGGAAGGCAUUGGGAAGUAAUAAGUAGAUGAUGGGUUGCUAGAGUGACAGAAGCUUAAACCCUAAUUUAUGCCUUGCUUCCUAAGGGGCUGAUUUGGAUCCACAUGUUUCAUGCUAUGGUUAGGUUUACCUUAAUACUUUUGUUGUAGUUGUGUAUGCUUGCAAUAGAGGUUAAUCAUAAGUGGGUUGCUUGUCCAAGUAAGGGCAGUACCAAAGCACUGGUCCACCCACAUAUCAAAUUAUCAAAGUACCGAACGCGAAUCAUAUGAGCGUGAUGAAAACUAGUCAUCCACAUAUACCUAUCAGAAAGGUUGUAGUGCUACCACUCACCAUUUGUAAAUACAUGCUUCACCGUAAGUCUGUAUAAAACAAUAUGCUUUGAUCAACUCAUCAAAGCGUAUAUUCCAACUCCGAGAUGCUUGCACCAGUCCAUAGAUGGAACGCUGGAGCUUUGCACACUUUGUUAGCACCUUUAGGAUCGACAAAAUCUUCUGGUUGCAUCAUAUACAACUCUUCUUUAAGAAAUCCAUUAAGGAAUACAUGUUUGACAUCCAUUUGCCAAAUUUCAUAAAAUGCGACAAUUGCUAACAUGAUUCGGACAGACUUUGAAGCAUCGAUACAAGUGAGAAAAUCUCAUUGUAGUCAACAUCUUGAACUUGUCGAAAACAUUUUGUGACAAUUCGAGCUUUGUAGAUAGUUACACUACUAUCAGCGUCCGUCUUCCUCUUGAAGAUCCAUUUAAUCUCAAUGGCUUGUCGAUCAUCGGGAAAGUCAAUCAAAGUCCAUACUUUGUUCUCAUACAUGGAUCCCAUCUCAGAUUUCAUGGCCUCAAGCCAUUUCGCAGAAUCUGGGCUCAUCAUCGCUUCCUCAUAGUUCGUAGGUUCGUCAUGGUCUAGUAACAUGACUUCCAGAAUAGGAUUACCAUACCACUCUGGUGCAGACUGUACUCUGGAAGACCUAUGAGGUUCUGUAGUAACUUGAUCUGAAGUUUCAUGAUCAUUAUGUUUAGCUUCCUCACUAAUUGGUGUAGGAAUCACUCGAACUGAUUUCUAUGAUGAACUACUUUCCAAUUUGGGAGAAGGUACAGUUACCUCAUCAAGCUCUACUUUCCUCCCACUCACUUCUUUUGAGAGAAACUCCUUCUCUAGAAAGGAUCCAUUUUAGCAACGAAUAUCUUGCCUUCGGAUAUGUGAUAGAAGGUGUACCCACCAGUUUUCUUUUGGGUAUUCUAUGAAGACGCACUUCUCUGAUUUGGGUUCGAGCUUAUCAGGUUGAAACUUUUUCACAUAAACAUCGCAGCCGCAAACUUUAAGAAACGACAACUUUGGUUUCUUGCCAAACCACAGUUCAUAAGGCGUCAUCUCAAAGGAUUUUGAUGGUUCCCUGUUUAACGUGAAUGCAGCUGUCUCUAAUGCAUAACCCCAAAACGAUAGUGGUAAAUCGGUAAGAGACAUCAUAGGUCGCACCAUAUCCAAUAAAGUGUGGUUACGACAUUCAGACACACCAUUAUGUUGUGGUGUUCCAGGUGGCGUGAGGUGUGAAACUAUUCCACAAAUUGUUUUAAAUGAAGGAAAAACUCGUAACUCAAAUAUUCUCCUCUACGAUCAGAUCGUAGAAACUUUAUUUUCUUGUUAUGAUGAUUCUCCACUUUACUCUGGAAUUCUUUGAACUUUUCAAAUGUUUCAGACUUGUGUUUGAUUAAAUAGAUAUACCCAUAUCUGCUCAAAUCAUCUGUGAAGGUCAGAAAAUAACGAUACCCGCCAUGAGCAUCAACACUCAUUGGACCGCAUACAUCAGUAUGUAUUAUUUCCAAUAAGUCACUACCUCGUUCCAUUGUUCCGGAGAAUGGAGUUUUAGUCAUCUUGCCCAUAAGGCACAGUUCGCAAGCAUCAAAUGAUUCACAAUCCAGUGAUUCCAAAAAUCCAUCUUUAUGGAGUUUCUUCAUGCACUUUACACAGAUAUGACCCAAACUGCAGUGCCACAAAUAUGUUGCACUAUCAUGAUCAACUUUGCAUCUUUUGGCAUCAAUAUUAUGAAUAUGUGUAUCACCACGAUCAAGAUUUAAUAAACCAUCAACAUUGGGUGUAUGACCAAAGAAGGUUUUGUUCAUGUAAACAGAAUAACAAUUUAUUCUCUGUCUUAGAUGAAUAAUCGUAUCGCAAUAAACAUGAUCUAAUCAUAUUUGUGCUCAACGCAAACACCAAAUAACAUUUAUUUAGGUUCAACACUAACCUCGAAAGUAUAGAGAGUGUGCGAUGAUGAUCAUAUCAAUCUUGGAACCACUUCCAACACAUAUUGUCACUUCACUCUCAACUAGUCUCUGUUUAUUCUUAACUCCUGUUUCGAGUUACUAAUUUUAGCAACCGAACAAGUAUCAAAUACCCAGGGGCUACUAUAAACACUAGUAAGGUACACAUCAACAACCUGUAUAUCAAAUAUACCCUUGUUCACUUUGCCAUCCUUCUUAUCCACCAAAUAUUCAGGGCAUUUCCGCUUCAAGUGACUAUUUCCUUUGUAGUAAAAGCUCACGUUCUAGCUUUGGGCUUCUUCACGGGAGUGACAACUUGCUUGCCAUUCUAUUUGAAGUUCCCUUUCUUUCCCUUUGCCCUUUUCUUGAAACUAGUGGUCUUGUCAAUCAUCAACACUUGAUGCUCUUUCUUGAUUUCUACCUUUGUCGAUUUCAGCAUCACGAAGAGAUCAGGAAUCAUUUUCGUCAUCCCUUGCAUAAUAUAGUUCAUCACGGAGUUCCAGUAGCUUGGUGAUGGUGACUAGAGAACUCUGUCAAUCACUAUCUUAUCUGGAAGAUUAACUCCCACUUGAUUCAAGCGAUUGUAGUACCCAGACAAUCUGAGCACAUGCUCACUGCUUGAGCUAUUCUCCUCCAUCUUUUAGCUAUAGAACUUGUUGGAGAAUUCAUAUCUCUCAACUCAGGUAUUUUCUUGAAAUAUUAACUUCAACUCCUAGAACAUCUCAUAUGGUACAUGACGUUCAAAACGUCUUUGACGUCCCGAUUCUAAGUCGUUAAGCAUGGUGCACUAAACUAUUAAAUAGUCAUCAUAUUGAGCUAGCCAAACGUUCAUAACGUCUGCAUCUGCUCCUGCAAUAGGUUUAUCACCUAACGGUGCAUCAAGGACAUAAUUUAUCUGUGUAGUACUGAGGAUAAUGUUGGGGAACGUUGCAGAAAAUAAAACAUUUCCUACGGUUUCACCAAGAUAAAUCUAUGAGUUCAUCUAGCAACGAGAGAGAGGAGUGCAUCUACAUACCCUUGUAGAUCGAGCGGAAGCGUUCAAGGGAACGGGGUUGAGGGAGUCGUACUCAUCGUGAUCCAAAUCACCAGAGAUCCUAGCGCCGAACGGACGGCACCUCCGCGUUCAACACACGUAUGAUCAGGAGACGUCUCCUCCUUCUUGAUCCAGCAAGGGGGAAGGAGAGGUUGAUGAAGAUCCAGCAGCACGACGGCGUGGUGGUGGAUGCAGCAGGGAUCCCGGUAGGGCUUCGCCAUGCAUCUGCGAGAGGGAGAGGUGUAGCAAGGGGGAAGGGAGGCGCCAAGUGCAAGGGUGUGGCUGCCCUCCCUCCCCCCUCUUUAUAUAGGGCCCCUAGGGGGAGCGCCGGCCCUAGGAGAUGGGAUCUCCAAAGGGGGGCGGCGGCCAAGGGGGAGCCUUGCCCCCCAAGGCAACUGGAGGCGCCCCCCCCCCCACCCCUAGGGUUUCCAACCCUAGGCGCAGGGGGGCCCAAGGGGCGCGCACCAACCUACCUGGGGCUGGUUCCCCUCCCACUUCAGCCCAUGGGGCCCUCCGAGAUAGGUGGCCCCACCCGGUGGACCCCCAGGACCCUUCCGGUGGUCCCGGUACAAUACCGGUGACCCCCGAAACUUUCCCGAUGGCCGAAACUCGACUUCCUAUAUAUAAUUCUUUGCCUCUGGACCAUUCUGGAACUCCUCGUGACGUCCGGGAUCUCAUCCGGGACUCCAAACAACUUUCAGUUUACUGCAUACUCAUAUCUCUACAACCCUAGCGUCACCGAACCUUAAGUGUGUAGACCCUACGGGUUCGGGAGACAUGCAGACAUGACCGAGACGCCUCUCCUGUCAAUAACCAACAGCGGGAUCUGGAUACCCAUGUUUGCUCCCACAUGCUCCUCGAUGAUCUCAUCGGAUGAACCACGAUGUCGAGGAUUCAAACAACCCCGUAUACUAUUCCCUUUGUCAAUCGGUACGUUACAUGCCCGAGACUCGAUCGUCGGUAUCCCAAUACCUCGUUUAAUCUCGUUACCGGCAAGUCACUUUACUCAUACCAUAAUGCAUGAUCCCGUGACCAGACACUUGGUCACAUUGAGCUCAUUAUGAUGAUGCAUUACCGAGUGGGCCCAGAGAUACCUCUUCGUCAUACGGAGUGAAAAAUCCCAGUCUCGAUUUAUGCCAACCCAACAGACACUUUCGGAGAUACCCGUAGUGCACCUUUAUAGUCACCCAGUUACGUUCUGACGUUUGGUACACCCAAAGCACUCCUACGGUAUCCGGGAGUUGCACAAUCUCAUGGUCUAAGGAAAUGAUACUUGACAUUUGGAAAAGCUCUAGCUAAACGAACUACACGAUCUUUGAGCUAUGCUUAGGAUUGGGUCUUGUCCAUCACAUCAUUCUCCUAAUGAUGUGAUCCCAUUAUCAAUGACAUCCAAUGUCCAUAGUCAGGAAACCAUGACUAUCUGUUGAUCAACGAGCUAGUCAACUAGAGGCUCACUAGGGACAUGUGGUGGUCUAUGUAUUCACACGUGUAUUACGAUUUCCGGAUAAUACAAUUAUAGCAUGAAUAAAAGACAAUUAUCAUGAACAAAGAAAUAUAAUAAUAACCAUCUUAUUAUUGCCUCUAGGGCAUAUUUCCAACAGAUAAACCUCAUAUCACGGACCCAAUCUGCAUCAUUGCUACUAUCAUCUUUCAACUUAGUUUUCUCUAGGAACACAUAUAAAAACAUAGGGAAGCAACAACGUGAGCUAUUGAUCUACAACAUUAUUUGCAAAAUGCUAUCAGGACUAAGUUCAUGAUAAAUUAAAGUUCAAUUAAUCAUAUUACUUAAGAACUCCCACUUAGAUAGACAUCCCUCUAGUCAUCUAAAUGAUCACGUGAUCCAAAUCAACUAAACCAUGUCCGAUCAUCACGUGAGAUGGAGUAGUUUUCAAUGGUGAACAUCACUAUGUUGAUCAUAUCUACUAUAUGAUUCACGCUCGACCUUUCGGUCUCCAGUGUUCCGAGGCCAUAUCUGCAUAUGCUAGGCUCAUCAAGUUUAACCCGAGUAUUCUGCAUUUGCAAAACUAGCUUGCACCGGUUGUAUGUGAAUGUAGAGCCUAUCACACCCGAUCAUCACAUGGUGUCUUAGCACGAAGAACUGUAGCAACGUGCAUACUCAGGGAGAACACUUAUACCUUGAAAUUUAGUGAGAGAUCAUCUUAUAAUGCUACCGUUGAACUAAGAAAAAUAAGAUGCAUAAAAGAUAAACAUCACAUGCAAUCAAUAUAAGUGAUAUGAUAUGGCCAUCAUCAUCUUGUGCCUUUGAUCUCCAUCUCCAAAGCACCGUCAUGAUCACCAUCGUCACCGGCGCGACACCUUGAUCUCCAUCAUAGCAUCGUUGUCGUCUCGCCAACUAUUGUUUCCACGACUAUCGCUAUUGCUUAGUGAUAAAGUAAAAACAAUUACAGGGCGAUUGCAUUGCAUACAAUAAAGCGACAACCAUAUUGCUCCUGCCAGUUGCCGAUAACUCUGUUACAAAACAUGAUCAUCUCAUACAAUAAAAUUUAGCAACAUGUGUUGACCAUAUCACAUCACAACAUGCCCUGCAAAAACAAGUUAGACGUCCUCUACUUUGUUGUUGCAAGUUUUACGUGGCUGCCAUGGGCUGAGUAAGAACCGUUUUUACCUAUGCACCAAAACCUCAACGAUUUUUCGUCAAGUAUGUGUUGUUUUAACCUUCAACAAGGACCAGGCGUAUCCAUACUCGAUUCAACUAAAGUUGGAGAAACUGACACCCGCUAGCCACCUAUGUGCGAAGCACGUCGGUAGAACCAGUCUCGCGUAAGCGUACACGUAAUGUUGGUCCGGGCCCCUUCAUCCAACAAUACCGCCGAACCAAAGUAUGACAUGCUGGUAAGCAGUAUGACUAUUAUCGUCCACAACUCACUUGUGUUCUACUCGUGCAUAUAACAUCGACGCAUAAACCUGGCUCGAAUGCCACUGUAGGGAAACGUGGUAAUUUCAUAAAUUUCCUACGCUCACGCAAGAUCAUGGUGAUGCAUAGCAACGAGAGGGGAGAGUGUUGUCCAUGUAUCCUCGUAGACUGAAAGCGGAAGCGUUAUGACAACGCAGUUGAUGUAGUCGUACGUCUUCACGAUCGACCGAUCCUAGUACCGAACAUACGACACCUCCGCGAUCUGCACACGUUCAGCUCGGUGACGUCCCAAGAACUCCGAUCCAGCAGAGUGUCGAAGGAGAGUUUCGUCAGCACGAUAGCGUGAUGACGAUGAUGAUGAAGCUACCGGCGUAGGGCUUCGCGUAAGCACUGCAACAAUAUGACCGAGGUGGAUUAUGGUGAAGGGGGGCACCGCACACGGCUAAGAGAUCAAUGGUCAACUUGUGUGUCUACGGGGUGCCCCCCCCUCCGUAUAUAAAGGAGUGGAGGAGGGGGAGGGACGGCCCUCUACUAUGGCGCGCCCUGGGGAGUCCUACUCCCACCAGGAGUAGGAUUACCCCCCUUCCAAGUAGUAGGAGUAGGAGAGAAGGAAAGGGAAGAGAUAAGAGAAGAAAGGAGGGGGCGCCGCCCCUCCCCCUAGUCCAAUUAGGACUAGGCCUUGGGGGGGUGCGCGGCCUGCCCUAGGUAGCCCCUCUCUCUCUCCCUUAAAGCCCAAUAAGGUCCAUAUACUCCCCGGUGAAUUCUCGUAACUCUCCGGUACUCCGAUAAAUACCCGAACCACUCAGAACCUUUUCAAUGUCCGAAUAUAGCCUUCCAAUAUAUCGAUCCUUACGUCUCGAAAAUUUCGAGACUCCUACUCAUGUCCCUGAUCUCAUCCGGGACUCCGAACAACCUUAGGUACAUCAAAACACAUAAACUCAUAAUACCGAUCGUCACCAAACGUUAAGCGUGCGGACCCUACGGGUUCGAGAACUAUGUAGACAUGACUGAGACUCAUCUCCGGUCAAUAACCAAUAGCAGAAUCUGGAUGCUCAUAUUGGCUCCUACAUAUUCUACGAAGAUCUUUAUCGGUCAAACCGCAAAACAACAUACGUUGUUCCCUUUGUCAUCGGUAUGUUACUUGCCCGAGAUUCGAUCUUCGGUAUCACCGUACCUAGUUCAAUCUCGUUAUUACUCGUUCCAUAAUGCAUCAUCUUGCAACUAACUCAUUAGCCACAUUGCUUGCAAGGCUUAUAGUGAUGUGCAUUACCGAGAGGGCCCAGAGAUACCUCUCCGACAAUCGGAGUGACAAAUCCUAAUCUCGAUCUAUGCCAACUCAACAAACACGAUCGGAGACACCUGUAGAGCACCUUUAUAAUCACCCAGUUAAGUUGUGACGUUUGGUAGCACACAAAGUGUUCGUCUGGUAUUCGGGAGUUGCAUAAUCUCAUAGUCAUAGGAACAUGUAUAAGUCAUGAAGAAAGCAAUAGCAACAUACUAAACGAUCAAGUUCUAAGCUAACGGAAUGGGUCAAGUCAAUCACAUCAUUCUCUAAUAAUGUGAUCUCAUUAAUAAAAUGACAACUCAUGUCUAUGGCUUGGAAACUUAACCAUCUUUGAUUCAACGAGCUAGUCAAGUAGAGGCAUACUAGUGACACUCUGUUUGUCUAUGUAUUCACAGAUAUACUAAGUCUCCGGUUAAUACAAGUAUAGCAUGAAUAAUAAACAUUUAUCAUGAUAUAAGGAAAUAUAAAUAACAACUUUAUUAUUGCCUCUAGGGCAUAAUUCCUUCAACUGCUAGUGGACAUCAUCAAGGAAAAGAAUAAAAACUUUUUAGGUUUUUACACCGGACCACACUUUUUCUCCUCAAGCACCCGCCUCCUGCAUAGGACCCGCUUCCCUAUCUGAAUAUACUUUUCCUGCCGUCCGAUCCUACGUGGCAUGCGAGGCAUCACCAUGAGGCUAUGCAUUGGUCAUGCCUUUAUGAGGUAUUUGGUUGCCUGUGUUCACUGUUCACUGUUGGGUCUGCAUCGCACGGAACUUAAAGCAGUUCUCAGUCAGGCCCGUUAGGAACUGCCGAAUGAGCAAUUUCAGCUAGCCAGUUAGAGUUGAGCCACAUUGAACAUACAUUGUGGGCCUCUUGCACAAGAGUAUGCCAGUGCGAUGCAAGCUAGUAUACAACUUGUAGGUGCUAUAUUCUCCUACCUCCAUUAAACUCCUCUCUAAUCUUCUUUCUUCCUUGUCUCCCUUCUAAUCUACAUAAUGGUACUUCGAUUCGAGAUAAGCUCUACACGGAAAAGAUGCACAUCGAUGUUAUGGUUCCAUUCAGACCAUUGGUACAUAGUUUCAUCGAUUGUAAAUGCUUAAUUUCGUGUUCAUGUUUGGAGUUAUUUUAGAAAAAAUUGGUCAAAUUUGUCGCACAUGUUGACCGUUUGAAAUUUCCUUUGACCAGUAGCUUCAUCUAGUAGUUUCACAAGACUUUGUAUUGCAUAUUUUCUAUUUCGAGGAUUGUAGGCGAGUAGGUCUACAUCUUCCUCAUGAACUGUACAUAUGCAUAUGUGUGAUAUAUUUUAAUGACACUCCUUAAUCUCCUUCAUCCUUUCUAAUCCGCCUCUCGGCCUCCUCUCGUGCGUCCUACUACACUGGCACCACCGCCGACGUUGUUCCUCUCGACCUCCUCUCCUACGUCUCGUUGCAUUGUCAUCAUCACCAGCGUUGUUCCUCUCAACCUCCUCUCCCGCACCUUGGUGCACUGUCAUCACCGCCAGCGUGGUUCCUCUCGGCCUCCUCGCCCGCAUCAUACUACACUGACGCCAUCAUCGACAUUGUUCCUCUCGGCCUCUUUGCAGUGUCCUACUACACUGGUGCCGUCCUCGGCAUUGUUCCUUUCGGCAUCCUCUCCCUCGUCCUACUAAACCUAUGCUGCCAUGGCACGCACACUGCAUUUUUUUCUCCUCUGUAAUCUGCCUCAAUGCCCUUAUAUUCCUCCCUCCGCGCGGAUUUUCUCUAUGGCGACGACGCAAGCGACUAGUUCGCCGCGUCGCUGUCGGACAGUGGUCGCGAUGUCGCGCCCGACAGCGGCGCAGCGAAGUAGUUGCUAAGCGACUAGUUCGCCGCGUCGCUGUCGGACACUGGUCGCGAUGUCGCGUCCGACGGCGGCGCAGCGAAGUAGUUGCUUGCAUCGUCGCCACCACCAUCCACCACGUUUUUAGGUCAGCCGUCGGGUUAGUGGUAGAUAAUGCGUGAGUAGGCCGCUCAGGUUCGCCGCGCCGCCGAUGGGAUCUCUCGCCCGCAACCCAUGAUCGUCGUGUCGGAUGCGGCCCCGAGACCACCGUCCAUCGCUGUCGCCGAGGCACUGUAAUGUAACACUGUGUGUUAUGUGUACUCCCUCCAUCCAAAAAAGCUUGUUCCAAACUUGUACCUCAAAUGGAUGUAUCUAGCACUAACUUGGUGCUAGAUGCAUCCUUUUGAGGGACAAAUUUUUUCGGACGCAGGGAGUAGCUGUUAACUCUUAAUCAUGUUCGGUGUAUGCAACCAAACAAUAUGCACUAGUAUGAGCACAACCAAUGCAAGCAACCAAACAUAGUGCACAGAAGCGUUUCUACGAUGCAGGAAGAGGGGAUGCAGGCAAUCAAUAAACAUGCGGAUAAUUAUUUUUUGUCUGCAUAUACUCAAUCAGGCCCAACCAAGACAAGUACGCGGGCAACCAAACGUGCCCUAGAAUUCGGAGCGGAUUGAACACACACUUAGUGGACGAUGAAGAUGAACACAUCAUAGUUUGGUCCAUUGCUUCCGAUACUUCACCGUGUGCGUGUCCGUAGCACAACGACGUACUACGUGGAAGAAGAAUUUAUCUACGCGUGAAAAUGACCUUAAACUAAACUAUCUAUGGUGUGGAAGAUAAUUUCAGUCACUUGCCAAGUGGUUUACAAUCUUUAAAUUCGUUAAUAGUUUUUGAACUUCACAAAAAAAAUUGAAUUGAUGAGCAUUUUUUAUGCAGAGCAAAAGCUGGCGCAGCUAGAGUAUUCUGGUUUUAGUUAGUCUUUUAUGAGAUCAGAUCGGUUUCUUUUGAAAAAGAUAAGCAUGAGCUCGGCUCAGAAAUGGAAGAUAUUGCAGUUCAGAUCGGAUCGGUCGACAACGUGCUGCAGGCUGCAGGAGGCAGAAGAAUACUCUAUCGAGAGUCCCAUCACGCAGCUUCUUUUACGUGCCCUCACCUCAGUAACUGUUAAUUUUCAGUUCAUAAACCAUGCUAAAAAGUACAGAAGAUUACAUUUUCCCCCACCAUCGCUCCAAAUAUUUCACCGCGUGCGUGUCCGCAGCACGGCGACGUGCUACGUGUAAGAACAGAUUGAUCUAGGCGUGACCUGACCUUAAACUAAACUAAUCUAUGAGGUGGAAGAUAAAUUCAGGCACUUGCCAAGUGGUUUACACUUUUACACGCGCACAGGAAAAACGUCGCCUUCGGACACACACAUGCGACGUCGCGGGCCCUGCGGUGACCGGCGAGCUUAUAAAACGGGGAGCGCGCCCCCGAGAAGGCCAGGACUCCCGACGACAUCCACCGGCAACCACCGCUCCUGAUCUCUCAGCUCCGCUCCGUCGAGAAACCAGCCAAGAGUAGUCCGACACCCAGGCCACCAUGGCGAACCCAUCCGCCUCCGCCUCGACCUCGAGGGCGUCGUGCGGGGCUACCAGCACCGCCAAUCUCACCUGCCUCUGCUCGCCGACCAACCACCCGGGCUCUUUCCGCUGCACUCGCCACCGCAACCCGCGGGGGCGACCGCAGCCGUCGCCGCCGUCGUCGUCAGGCCGCGUGUCGCAUCAGUCGGCGACUUCGUGCGCGAGCGCGACGGUGCGCGCCGAGGGGAUCAUCAGAAGCGGCGGCGUCGGCACCGGCGGCAGGACCACCAAGGACCGGUCUGUCCUGCGCGCGCACCUGCUGCGGCUGGUGAGCGCGCCGUCCUCCGCCGGCCGCGACCACCGUCGCUGCCGGGACUUCAUGCCCCGCCCGUCAAGGCUGGGCCGCCUCGCGGUGACCGCGUGACCCGGCUGCUCUGCUUCGCGGCUCGUACUAGGGAGCUCACUAGCAGAGUAGCAGUGGCGGACGGUGCGCCUCUAUUUCGCGCGCGCCAACGCAUGGAUGAUGGAUCCGUCGUGGCUAGCACGUAGCUAGGAUCGGGUACUACUCUGGAGAAUGGAACUCUUUUUAGUACUGUGAUGAACUGGUGAUGGUGCUGAUAAUUACUAGUACUACUAGUACUCUGGAUCUGUGAUCUGUACACACUUCCUUGUAAUUUUUGCCGAGGAAUCAAAUGGAGCAGUUUUUUGUGACCUUCCUGCAUAUUUUUGCUGUUCCAUGGAUUUACACUAUGGGCGGACGCGAACUGUAGAAAUUUUCAUUUCUUUUACUAUAAGAUUUCUCACUUGGUUUUGUGCCUAUGGGUAUUGAGAUCACCUUAGUUAUCGGAAUUCCGCUUAAAAUAUUAU
Molecule: long non-coding RNA, 88144 nt
Filed under: Triticum aestivum (bread wheat)
Lineage: Eukaryota; Viridiplantae; Streptophyta; Magnoliopsida; Poales; Poaceae
Description: long non-coding RNA (TAES_LNC012601)
Rfam family: MIR1120/MIR1122 microRNA precursor family (bases 86036-86161)
Source: RNAcentral